AUGUUUCAGAAACAUCCACCAUGAAUACUGCAGGAAAUUUGUCAUUGAAAGAAGUUAAGCAAGAAAAUCCACUAUGGCGAAAUCACAAGAGGUCACUCGGUUGAUUUAUAUUUAAAAAAUGGAAUGCAAGCAAAGUCACAGUCCAUUGCUCUUUGUUCCAAACUGAAACGCCAGUUAAAUUUCCUCAACUUGACUUCAGCUUUAACCAAGUCCACCAAAACAGUGCUUUGAGCAUGACCCAAGAGAAAUUAGAACUCCCAAUCAUUACACAGUGUCAACCAAUCACCCCAGACAAAAUUAGAAACAAGAAAGAACACAUGACUUCACAAACACACAGGAAGAGAGAGAGAGAGAGAGAGAGAGACUGCAACGCUCUAGAGUUGCUUCUCCUUGAAAUGGCUCGUGAGUUAGGGUGUGAAAUAUAGAACGUUGAGGCAGAUGAAUCAUCACCAAGAAAAAAAAAAGGGAAGAAAAAAACGAAGGAAAAAGGAAUGAAAGAAUGGUCAAAUGGGAUGUCUGAUUUGCGACAGCUUCUGACGAAAUAAGGAGAAGAAGAUCGAGUGGUCAAGAACACGUGGUGCGAUGCAUGCGUCACCGCUUACGUAGGCAGGCGUCUCACCUGAGCUGAAACGAGAGGAGAACGAGAUGGAGAAAACUUUGCAUAAUUGAUUAGUUUAUAGUUUUCUCCUUCCUCGUGUAUUUUGGCUUCUUCCGUGGACUUCUAUACAAUCAUACUAAUUAACAAUAACAAAUAACUUGAAUUGCUUUAUAAUCGUUUUGACAUUUUCAUCUCUUGAUUCGGUAUUCUCUUCUCUAGAGAUAGACAAAUUACUUUGCCUGUAUUCUAAGAUUUUUCUCUAUGAAAUUCUUGAUCUUACAGAUCAUUGAGAAGUAAUCUCUUCACAAUUAACUUAUUGCAUUGUACUGCAUUAUCGUAAGAGGUUUGAGGAUCCUAAAUUUAUUAAUUGAUUGCAAUUUUUUGAAUCUAGAUAAUGUGGACGGUUCUCCUAACAUAAGAACUAUUUUUCCUAUAUUUUGUUAAACUUGAGAUUGACUAAUUGCUUAAUAUACUCCAAUAAGUUAUACCAAAGUCCAACUCUAAGGUCGUGAUCAACUUCUCAUCUACGGUAUUGCCACAAUCCUUCCGAGAUGGAAGUUUGACGAAUUGCCAAGCAGACACGCAUGAUCCCUCUCGUGAGGUGGCACUUAUACUUACCACGAACUCUCCCAAACCUAUCGAUCACAACGUGAUUUCUACUUUAAUUAUAUGAGUAACUACUAAUUAAUUAUGGGCCAAUUAGAAGUCAAAUUAGACAUAGGAGCCCAUUUUAUUUCAGAAAAUCAAAGAUUCGUGGGUUGGAACGUGAUUACACUAUAUAUGUCUUUUGCCCAAUUUGAUACAUUUUUUUUUUUUAUGAAAACAUUUUACAUGUGAGCUCUCUUUUUAUUUUCUGAUCUUUUUUUUCCUAAUAGUGAAGCAAAUAAUAAUUGCUUAAACAAUAAGCAAAUAAUAACAAAGCUAUUAGAGGACAGGAAAAAUUUACUUAAGCUGUAAUGGGCAUAUUAUUACUAUAUGUUGAUACCUAAAUUUUUGCAUAAAAAAUGAGUUAAUUUUUACCCCCAAAUAUAAUUAAUUAAUUAAUUAAUUAAAAUUGCAACAUAUAGUUUUUGGAGCAUCUAUUUUAUUUUAUUCCAUUUUUUGCAUUGGAUUGACGAUAAGCGUUAAUAUAACGUGAGAUUUUUCAUAUAUUCAUGUGAGGUUUUUCACAUAUUCAGGUAAUAUACGUCAAAUGACAUAUUUUUUAGUAAAAAGAAAAUUUUUAGAUGGAAUAUUUGAAAAAUACAAAGGAGAAUAUUGCACGGAAUGUUUAUAUUUUAAUGAUAUAUUCAGGAGGACUAUGCACGAGCAAAAUUGAAAGUAAAAUAUUCCAUGAAAAUCUAAUUCCCUCUCCUAUAUAAUGUGAGCGAAUUCAGAAAAAUAGAGUGAAAAAGCUUCUUCUUCUUCUUUUUUUCUUUCGAGGCAUUUUCCUUCGGUUUCUCUUGAGUUCAAAAGUCAAAAAGGAGAAAAGAAAAAGAGUGAAAGAGAGAGGAGACGUGAGCGCAGAGAAGACGCAGAGAGAGAGGAGACGUGAGUGGACAGACAAGAAAGAAAAAAAAGAAGGAAGAGGACGAAGCAAGCGAGUCGUCUCCCUCGCGCGGGCGUCCGUGCCCCUGCCGGCCUCCAUCCGCGGGCACCUGCCGGCUCCGCCUCGCCUCCGCUUCCCGUCCUCGCGCCGGCCACCGCUGCUCCCCGCCGAGACACCACCGGCCGUACGCCUGUCGCAGCACCCCUGUCCCGGGCAUCGACGCCGCAGAACCACUGCCCGUAGCUGCUCGCCCGACGCCUGCAACCCGCCGAUCCGGCCACUGCCGCUCCGCCCGCGAGCCAGCAUCCGACGCCUGCCAGCCUCUGCUCGACGACCGCGCCUGCAGCAGCGCCCGAGGCCCUCGCCGCUCCGCCUUGACCGCCCGCUGCAGCAAACCUGCACCGGCCCCCUUUGCUCCGCCCGACGCCGUUGCAGCGCCGCUCGAACGCCGCCCCUGUCUGCGCCUCUGCCCGACGAUCGCAACAGCAGCCGCCGCCUCCACAGCCGCGCCUCUGCACCGCGCCAUCACUGCUACUGCGCCUGGUGCCCGACGCCCACAGCCACCCUCUGCCCGGCGCCGCCCACCAUCGUUGCUGCCCUUCCCCACGUCCCCCUUAGGUAGUUUAUUUUUAUUUUUAUUUUUCAUUUAUUAUGUUAUUAUUUUUUUUUUUCAAAGUUCUGUCAUUAUUGUACAAAUUGGAACAUUGAAAGGUGAUUUUCAUUUUAUGAAUAUUCUAGGCAUUAUCCACAGGACUUUACUCAAAAUUACCGUAAUUAUUAAUUUGAUCCGUAAGAUGUCGGAUCAUUUUUUUAAUUAUGUUAAUUUUUUGACAAUUUGAUAGUAUUUUAACUUAUUAAAUCAUUAUAAUUAUUAAUUUGAUCCGUAAAAUUUCGAAUCAAAUUUUUAAUCAUUUUGAAUAUUCUUAUAUAUUGUGAUGUUUAGUGUUAAAAUAAUUGUUAAUUUAACAUGUAAGACAACGGAUUAUUUUUUCGAUUAUUUUAAUCUUUUAUUUGUUGAAUAUCUUGAUUGGUUUAGAUAUAAUAUUUAUUUGAUAAUUUUUUUUUUUUGUGACUUAGAAAACCCGCGCAUCGUACCAACACAGACAACCCGAAAAGCCCAGGUAACAGGAGUAAACCCUGAGUGCAACACAUGUUAGCCAUCACACAUGUGCCAUCAGGUAAGUCACAUUGCAACACCCGGGAAUCAAACUCCUCCCCUUACGUUAGGGGGAGAAGCUCGCCGCCGGCAACGCUACCCAGGUGGGUGGUAUGUUUAUUUGAUAAUUGUUUGUCUUGGACAAACACUAAAAAAAUAUAAAAAAUCAAAAAUCAAAAUCUUGCAUCGGAGUUGUUGGUUUAGUAAAUCAGGAUUGCAUUUUUAGGAUUAUACAUUUAGAUAAUUUUUGGAAUAAAUUAUGAUUGAAUUAUAUAUAUACUCUUAAAUAAUGCUUGCACAUUUUGAUAAUCUCAAUUUUCUUUAAAAUUAAAAUAGUUUUCUAAAAUAGGAUAAUGUUUAAGUCAAAUUAAUCCGUAAACUAUAUUAGAGGACCAUUCAUUUUAGAUAGUUUAAUUAGGUUUUUUUAAAAUUUUAAUAAAAAAAUAUUAGGUGCAUAUCAAUAGUUUGCAUGUUAGGCUCAUUUAAUUAGAAAUAGCUUGUUAGUAAAAUUAGAUCAUGUAAUUAAAGUGUAUCCUUUAAUUUAGAGAUAAAAGAAAACCAAAAAAAUAUGUUUGCUUUGUGCUUUUAAAUUAUUAUUUUUAUGCAAUUCGUUUGAUUCAUUGAGUUUUUAAUAAUAAUUGAGCACCUAUGUAAUUAUCAUUUUGCAUGAUAGAAAUUUAGGUUAAAAUUAAUCAAAACAACUUGCAAAAACAUUUUUGAAAAUAAAAAGAAAUGGUAACGAAAGAGCAUUAAAGAAGUCCAGUGUAACAAAAUCCCCGUACCCAAAGUUUCUAGUUUGUAUGAGUAAAAUAAUUAUCAUAUUAUUUUACUUAAGUAUAUAAUCGAUUUAUCAUAAACUGAUUAGUAGUGAUUCAUAGAUAAAAUAUAUUUGCAUGUUAAAAUUUGAACUUAAGUCGGAAAUUAGUAUGGACUUGGGAGAGCCCGAGCUAAGUUUAAAACUUAAUAAUCCAUUAGCCUAAACCCUAGGUGGUACACCAGAAAUUUAGGUCGUGGCAGCUUAGCGACUCCGCUAGGAACUUGUGUUAAAACUCUUAGUGGACUUAGGCCAAUUUUUCUUUUCCGGCAGUGAGAAUACCAGGUACGUCCCUAAUAUCAAGUGUUAAAUAUUGUUGCAGAUGGGAGGUAUAAGGAAAAGUAGUCUUUGCUAAUCCUUAUCUUGCAGGGAGGUGUUGAGAUUAUGAUUUAUUUUUCCUGAUUAUAAGUGUCAUUUGCAUUUAAUUUUUUUUUUUUGUGACCUAAGGAACCUCCGUGCGUCGUCUUCGCUUGAAGUAAACCUUGGAGGGAGUAGAGUUACCACUACUCUUACUCUCCGGAUAAGUCGUGGAUUCCUUUCCAACAAGGCGGACGACGCAGGGAUUCGAACUCUAGACCUCUCGCGAAAGGAACCAGCGCCCAACCACUACGCCACCACCACAGAUGGUGUUGUUUGCAUUUAAAUUGUUGUGCAUAUUUUAUUGCUUAUUGCACACACAACCUACUAUCGGACUUGGGCUCCGUUAGGAUUUUUAGGAUGAUGUUGAAAAUGAUACUUCCCCCAAAGCGAGACUGCUAUGUAGAGGUUGACAUUCUCUUCUCCAAAAGUUUUUCAUGGUAUCGAAUAUAUUUGUCCACAUCCGCGAGACUGUGUGACUAUUGGACAUUCCAUUCGACUGAGUUAGAGUUAGGAGGACCUGACAUGUUAAAUGCGAGACUGCAAUGGUCAGAUCAUCCUCUUAGCUCUACUUUGUUAAGCCGUCUAGAUAGAAAUCGAGCCUCACACUUCAUGCAUGUGUUUAUGUGAUUGUCAUCCAUUUUCGAUGAAAGAAAAUUGUCUAAAUUCUCAUUUUGCAAUUUACUUACUUAAUGCAAUUUUGUCAAUUCAUGACAAUAGAUCUUGUCGUUAGUCUUGUUUUAUAUGUGAUGAGAAAAACCAACAAAUAGUUCAUUUCCACUCCAAAAAAAGAGCUCAAAAUGUGGUUGGACCAACUAGAUCAAGAUGGCCAGAAAUAUGUGAAAGCCAGAUUGGCCCGACUUCUCCCAUUGUUAGAGAUCAAUAUCCACUUUGGUGUAAUACAAGCACUGCCUCACUUCUAAUGUCCACAAACUUCCACAUUCAUAUUUGAUUAGUACGAGUUAACUCCAACACUAGAGCAAUAUAGUGUUGCUAUUGGAAUGCUUCUUGAAAAAGAACUUGUUAGGCCGUCUAUCAGUAUAGAUUAUAUUUUUGAAUUAUCACGGUUUUUAAAACCAAAGCUAAACGGUAAGGAAGGUUGUCAAGGCCAAUUGUUAUGCGUGCCCAUUUUUAUUUUUGGCAAAGUGUUUUGCAAAUCAAUCAAUAAUUUCAAAGCUAAGAUCUUUAUUUUAACGUUUUUUGGGCUAAUUGUUUUCCCUUUAUCGAAAAAAUGCCAUUAAUCCUUCAAUUUCAUGUGUGGUUAGCCGAGUUUGUGACGGAUUGAAUUAUGUCAAUAUGAUUUUAGUUGAAACAUUUUUGUCAUUAACUCGUUUCAAACAAAAUGAAGAAAAGACCAUGCGUGUCAUUCCUGAACUUUUGCAAAUAUGGUUUUUCUUUCACAUAAAAAGAUUUGGGCACCUUAUGAAACAAUUUAAAAUUGAUGAUUUUAGGCACUCCAUAUAAAAAGUUGCGGUCACAGUACGCCCGUUGGAUAAACAAUUUAAAAUUGAUGAUUUUAGGCACUCCAUAUAAAAAGUUGCAGUCACAGUACGCCCGUUGGAUUAAUUUUUUGAAUGAUCCUAAUCCUAAGGUAUUCGUAUGGCAUACUAAAUGGUUCCGUGUUAAGGAAGCUCAAUUCUCUCGCAAGUAUGAUGAGCAAAUUCCAUUGAUGGGCCUUUCUAGUGCUACUUCUUAUUACCCAUAUAAGGUGGCCCGUCAGUACAAAGCUCUUCAAGAAGUUCCUCCACCUCUCAAGACAUAAUUGUUUCAAGUUCGUUUUAUUCGUACAAACUAAUUCAACGAGAUCCAGAUGAUUAUUGCUGCAUGGAAUGAAUGCCACCCAUAGAAGAUUUUGAUGCCCAAGAGAUUGAAAGGCGAGGAGGAGAUUCACUAUGCGUUAGCAUUCUACAUCCAACCAUACCGGAUUCCUGCCGCUUUGUGUUCAGUGGUCCUUGAUAUGACUAAAAAGCUCACUCAGCAAGCACAAAUUGAGUAUCUUAAACAUAAAGUGGAAAUGAUUGAAGUUGAAAAUAAGAAGCUUCGCAAGGCGUUGGGAUCCCAAAAUCAUAUAAAAUGAUAUGUUUUAAAUUUUAUUUCUUAGUUCAAUGUUUAGGGACUUUGAGUUCUAGUUCAAUGUUUUCAAUUUUUUAGAUUCAAUGUUUAUGGACUUUGAUUUCAAAUCUUAGUUCAUUGUUAGGGAACUUGGUUCACAUUUCAAAUAAAUCUUGAAUAAAAUGAGGUGAUUAGACCAUUGUCAUGGGCAAUUUUCCUAUCUUGUCAUCGAUUCUUACAUUACUUUUAUUACCUUAGGUGACAACGGAACCGCCGGUUCGCCCAUUAUCACUCGAUUGAGAGCUAAAAUGGCCGACUAAACUGAAAUGUGCGAUCGUAUCUCCACAAUGGAAGACCAACUCCAACAGUUGCUCACCUCUAUGCAACUUAUAUUAGCUCAAAUCCAGUGCCUCCAAGCAAAUCCAACUCCUGCACUCGCUCUCCCUAAGAUAGUUGUCCUGAAGUCGACAAGCAAGGCUCAAAUUAUGGGUGAUGAUGACAUGCCUGAACAAGAAGAUGACCCACCAUUGAUUACUGCCGAAAAAGUUAAGCUUGACAACGUCCCUAAGACAGAGCAAGAUGAACACUUUGCAAAGCUUGAAGAGAAGGUGAAGCAAUUGCAAGAGUCGCAAAGUUCAAUCCCGUUCAACUUGUCGGUGUAUGAGAAGGUUAAGGUGCCAAAAAAGUUUAAAAUGCUGGAUUUUGAUAAAUACGAUGGUAUUUCUUGCUCAAAAGCUCAUUUGCAGAUGUACCACGUACGCAUGGCCUAGUAUGUCAAGAAUGAGCCCCUCAUGAUCCAAUCAUUUCAUGCAAGUUUGAUCGAGCCCGCAUUGAGCUGGUAUGUGAUAAAGAAUGUGAACCUUCUCGACACAUGGAAUGAAGUAGCUGACACAUUCCUCAAGCAAUAUAAGUUCAAUAUGGACAUUGCACCUUCCCGAGAAGAUCUUGAGAGAAUGGAGAAUAAACGGAGUGAAUCAUUCAAGAACUAUUUCGUGAGAUUGUGAAAUCUGGCAACUCAAAUCACUCUUGAGCCUACUAACAAUGAGUUGAUGAAGUUGUUCAUCUAGACUCGUUUGAGUUUCAUAAUCGAAUGACUAGCACGUACGUUGAGAACUUUAAUUAACUUAUUCCCAUUGGAGAACAAAUUGAGAUGGGGAUAAGAAAAUGAUGGUUUACUAAGCCAUCCAACAAAAGGUUCUCUACUAGGAAUGAUAAAGAGGCUACUGUACAUGUGAAUGUGGCCUAUACCCAAUAAAAUGCUGUUGACACCUAAUUUUGGAAAAAUAAAAUUGCAUUUUGAACAAAUAAAAAGAAAAAAAUGAAAAUGGGAGAAAUUGAUCAUCUCGCAUAUUAGGGAAAUAGAUUUAAAAAUCAAUUCAAACUGCCUAUGAAAUUUUUUUUUGAAAAAUAAAAGAAUGGUAUCGAAAGGGCAUUAGAGAAAUCUAGUAUAAUCAAGUCCCCGAACCCAUAGUCUCUGGCUCGUAGAAGUAAAGUAAAGCUCCAAUUAUUUUACUUGGGUUUCUAAUCGACCCAUCAAAAAUAAAUUAAUGGCGACUCCUAGAUAAAAUCCAUUUGCAUGUUAAGAAAUUUGAACUUAGUCACAAAUUGGUAUGGGCCUAGGAGGGCCCAGGUUAAAUCUAGGCUUAACAAUCCAUUAGCCUAAUUUUAGGUGGUUCACCCAAAAAAUAGGUCGUGACAGUUUGGCGACUCCGCUGGGGACUUGUGUUAAAACACUUAGUGGACUUAGGUCAAUUUUCUUCUCUUUGAAAAAUGUUUUUGUUUGGCAGCGAGAAUUUCAGGUACGUCCCUAACAUUUAAGGUGUUAAAUAUUUUUGCAGAUUAGGAAGUAUAAGGGGAGUAGUGUUUGCUAACCUUUGUUUUGCAGGAAGGUGUAUGAAUGUAUGGUUUACAUUAAUAUAUGAAGUGCUGCUUGAUAUAAACUGUAGCGCAUGCUUUGUAUUUUUCACUACACUUUUGCACACACAACCGCCGCUGGACCUGGGCCGCACUAUGAUAUUUAGGAUGGUAUUGAGUUGGAUACGACUUCGACCGCAAGGCCGCGUAGUAGAGGUUGCCCAACUCAAUCCCGAAAGUUUUUCUUGGUGUAAAAAAUGUUUACCUCUGCCCGCGAGGCUGCGUCACAUUGGGGUAUCAUUCUUGACUGAGCCGAAGUUAGGAGGACUUGACUUAGUAUUUGAGGCUGCAACUAAGUCAUCCCACCCUUGUAACUCUACUUUGCUAAGCCUGUCUAGAGUAGAAAUCGAGCCUCACAUCUCAUGUGCAUGUCUAUGUGAUUGUUGUCGAUUUUUCUUGGUGAAGUAAGUUUUCUAUCCCUAUACCAUGCAAUUUAUUUUGUCGUGCUUUUAGUCUGUUCAUGCCAAUUUAGGUCAAGCAUUGAUUUAACUCCUUUGUUAAUUAGAGAUGAAAUGAGGAAAUUGUCAUGCAAUGAAUCAUUUUGAAAAAAAAAAACACUUCAGAGAAUUUGUUUUCAAUUCAUGUUUAGGAAAUUUGAUCUUGCUAGGGUGUCUAUUUUUCUAGUCUUUUUUUUAGGAAAUUCCUUUAUUGUACGAACUUUUCAUGAAUAAAUGAAGAUGAAAAAUGAAAAAAAAAAUCAGAUCAUUGUCAUGGAUUGGCUAUCUAUUUACACAUCGUGCUUAUUUUGUUCAUUUCUUCAAAAUAGGUGACAACGGAGCUGCCACAUUCAUCCAUUAUUACACGAUUAAGAGCUAGAAUGGCAAAUCAAGCUGAAAUGCGUGAUCGCAUGUCCUCCGUGGAAGAUCAACUCAAAUAGUUAGCCGCCUCCAUGCAGCUUAUAACAGCUCAACUUCAAUCCCUUCAGGUGAAUCCAAAUCCUCCACCCGUUCUCCUUGAGAUAGUAGUCCUGAGGAACAGGACCCAAAUGAGCGAUGACAAAAUGCCUGAGCUAGAAGAUGACCUGGUCCUUGUUGGAAAAGCCAAGCCUGAUAGCGUUCCCAAGAUAGAGCAGGAUGAGCGCGUUGCAAAGCUGGAAGAGAAAGUGAGACAGCUGCAAGAGUCACAAAGCUCACUUUCGUUUGACCUCUCAGUUUAUGAGAAGGUCAAAAUGCCGAGCAAGUUCAAAAUGCCAGAAUUUGAUAAGUAUGACGGGAUAUCUUGUCCGAAAUCUCAUUUGUAGAUGUACCACGUGUGCAUGGCCCAGCACGUCAAAAAUGAGCCACUCACGAUCCAAUUGUUUCAUGCGAGUUUGAUUGGGCUUGCACUAAACUGGUACGUGAUGAAGAACGUAAACCUCCUCGAAACCUGGAACGAGGUAGUGGACGCGUUCCUCAAACAGUACAAAUUCAACAUGAACAUCGCGCCUUCCCGAGAAGACUUGGAGAGGAUGGAAAAGAAAAGGAGCGAGUCAUUUAAAGAGUAUGUUGUGAGAUGGAGAAACCUUGCGGCCCAAAUUACUUCUAAGCAUACCAACAAGGAGUUGAUGAAGUUGUUUGUGAAGACCCUUCCAUCUGAGUUCCGUAACUGAAUGGCCAGUAUGUAUGUCGAGAGCUUCAAUCAGCUUAUUCCUAUAGGAGAACAGAUCGAGAUGGGGAUAAGGGAAGGGUGGUUCGCUGAGCCAUCAAGUAAAAGAUUCUCUGCCAAGAAAGAGAGAAGAUUCCGUUGAUGUGAACGUGGCUUAUACCCAAGAAAGUACCCAUCGUGCCCCGACUAUCCAGGCAAAUCCAAGGCAACAACAAACUGCUGGCUGCCAAUCAAAUUAUAGAAGGCAAUUCUCUCCUCUCCCUGGAUCUCCAUCCCAAGUGUUGGCAAUCCUCCGAAAGAAAGGCUUGCUUUCUAGUGAACCAAAGCAUCCUAACUGCGAAAGCAAUCGAUGUUACGACCCGAUGAAGAAGUGUGACUACCAUAGCGGUGAACUGGGGCAUUCAAAUGAUGAAUGUUUCACCCUCAAGCACAAGAUCCAAAACCUCUUGGACACGAAGGCCUUUUCGUUUCAAACUGCUCAGUCGAACAUCCAGAAAAAUCUGCUACCAGAGCAUGAGGGUACAGUGAAUGCUAACCUAGAACAUGACACCGGUCGAAUCAAGAGCUCGAAGGUACAUGUGAUGGACACCCUAGGGCAGCCAAAUGAUGGAUGGGGUGGCAUGGACGAGCCGACACUCCCGAAGAUAGAGAACCCUGGUGAUGUGCUGGACGGAGUUACAAACUUGUUCAAUGACCUCAUCAUAGGAGCCAUUAAUGAAGGACCCUCUGAAGAGAUGGGCCUUGGCCCAUAAGAGUAACUUUUUUACUGCUUUUGCACAUUCCCCUGCAUGGGAAUUUUUAUUAUUUUCUUAAUAAUGUUUUCAGUUUCUUCUUUCUUUUAGUGAUUGAGUGUUGCAUUUUUUCUAUUCAAUAAAUGUAAUUGAUUGAUGAAUUUCAAUGAAAUUACAAGUUUUAUUUUGAGGGCAUGAUGAGGUACACCAAACCAGCCCAAUGAUGAUAUCCAACCGAUAAAAGAAAAGAAAAAUCCAAGGAGAAUUCUGAGGGCUGGGUUUCAUCAUGCUUUCUCGUGUCAAAAUGUUUCAAAAAAAUGCUUUUCCAAAUGUUUUUCAAAAAAAAAUUUCAAAAAAAAAUUCAAAAAAAUAAAACUUGAUUUACUCUGUUUGUCUUUUUGACCCAUCUACUUUUUGUUUCAGAGACGGUCUUAUAACAUGUAAAGGUGUGGAAAUGGUCCAAUCCGAUUUCGGAUCCUGGGGGCAAGUUCGCUCCGAAUUACAGUGGCCCCGUAUGUGGUAAAGAAGAUACUUCAUAAAUGUGCCUUGAUCUUGGCAGAAAUGCAUGGUCAUGAGUUAAUUCUGAUGUUGUCAAGAAGUGUUAUCUGUGAUAGAACUUGCCAUGUCAUGUUUUGAACUGCAAGCUUUUCUAUGAUGAGUAAAUUGCUUAAAUGAAUUGAAUUGUUCAAAUCCGUUGCAAAUUUUGCAUAUUUUCCCCGAUGAAUUGUGUGAGAUGAAUUGAAUAUGUCUAAUGGGGUACUUUGGAAUGACGAAAGGCAAGCCUUAGUCUAUACAUUGUUUCAUACACUAACCCCCAGUGAGUUGUAUGAAAAAUUCCAUGCCCGCAAGGAAGGGGGCUAUCUCGCAAAGGGUACGUCAACCAAGGUGAUAAGAGGCAUUCUUUUAUCUAUCCCAAACACUACAUGUGAUCCAUUGCUCAAUCCCUUUGAGCCCCAUACACUUAUGGAGAUUCUUUUAAAAUUACCCCUAUCAAGGAUCAUCCUAUAAUGGGGCAAAUUUAAAAUGAAUGGUAGGAAUCUUUUUCCUCACACUUGCAUCAAUCUUCGAGCAUCGCUUUUGCAGUGUAACUUACGCGGUAAUUCAAGUGCCUUAGAAUGAAAAAGAGCAGUUCUUUCUUUAUCCUACACACUUUUGACUAUUGCAUAACCCACUUGAGUCUAUAAAUUCAUUUCAUGUCAAACCCAAUUGGUGAUCAUCCUCCACACUGGGGCAAGGCAAAAAGAAUCAUUCAAGUAAUAGGGCUUAGAAUGCUAACAAAGGAUGGUUGUGCGAGUUCAAAAAAAUUAAUAAGUGCAAAAAUAAUUGGGCAUGAAAAAGCAGUGUGCCUGGUGAGAGUUCUAGUAUGAAUAAAAUAAAGGAGUUAGGGAAGAGAAUAAGAACACGAGAUUUAUAGUGGUUCGGCUUAAUCCAAGCCUACGUCCACUCUCCCACGAUAACAGCCUUCUUGGCUGGAUUCCACUAUGCAAUCAACAAGAGAUUACAACUUCGAGUGCAAACACUUAGUAGUAGAUCACACUAUCUUACUAAGUCACUCUCUUGGUAUUUCUCUCACGAUUACAAACGUUUAAGCUCUCAAGAGACAAGUAUAUGAUCGAAAGUCGCUUAGACUUUGGAAUUAUAAAUUCUACGCUCCGUCUCUUACUUGCUCAUCGGUCCAUGAUCUCCUUAAAUACUCCUCCACUUCCAAACUACCGUUGGAUAGUAUCCCGGAGAAUCGUCUUCCAAUAUACCCAUUGGACAGCUCUGUAUCUAGAAGAUUUGGUAGCCGUUGAGUGACAAAGGUAAAAUCCCAAAUUGAUUCCGAUCGCCCAUACAAACGAAAUCUUGGUUUCCAUAAGUAAAGCUUCUUCGUAUAGAAAGUUCUUGUCUUCAAUCAAAUCAAUCUUGAUGUGGAAUCCAAACCAGAUCACUAGCCGUUGUAUGAUUGGGCUUGAGUUACGAUUCAUCGUAAUCUGGAUGUAAAGUCUGAGUCUUUAGACUUUACGAUAUGAGUCUUGAGACUUUACAAUCUGGGUCUGUAGACUUUACAAUAUGAGUCUUGAGUCUGACAGUCUUCAGACUUUGACACAGAAGUCUGAAAAUCUUCAAAAUAUACUCUGGACAUAUGUUACGUUCAGUCUUCUGGCCAUCUUCUGACUUUGAUAAAAUCCUUUACAUGUUCUAUCAUCUGCAUGGUCUAUUACUCAACCAUCAAACAUGUUAGUAGCCUUUGAUUUAUUUUGUCAUCUUCAAAACAUCAUAAGGGAUUUCCCUAACAAUCUCCCCCUUUUUGAUGAUGACAAAACAAUCUCUGAAUAUGCAGAUUUGUAAACAUACUUUUAAAUCAAAGGAUAUCAGAAGAUAACAAAUAGAUUGAGCAUAACAAUAUUUAGAAAAUAAUCUCAGCUCAAUAUUAUGCCAUAGAUAAUAUCAACCAAUCAGCACAUAUGCAUAUUCAUAUCUUCUCCCCCUUUUUGUCAUAAUCAAAAAGCGAUAAUGGAUUCACGUAGAGAAUGAUAACAAAUAUCUUACAUGAAUCACAAUUUCCACAAAUCAGCUUUUAUAAAGUAAAUCGAAUAUUGAAGAUAUGCAAUAUAGCUCACUUCGAUUAUAUCAGUAAAUAUCCAAUAAAAAUCACGAAUGCAUCAUAAAAUUUACGUACCAUUUUUGUCAUAAUAAAAUGAUAAUAUCAAUAUGAGAUUUGUUAAUGACAAAAGGUAAUAAGAGAUGCACUAACCGGAUUUUGUAGAAUAAAUUCUGAUACAAUUUACCUUUCCUUCCAUCCAUAAUAAGAUCACGAUCAAUCAAAAAAGAUUUUUCCAUAAUUGAUCAAAGCUCCCCCUCAAUUUGUUGCCUUUUUGAGAUGAUCACGAUUCUUUUCCUUUUCUUUUGGAUUUGCUUUCUCCCCCUUGAUUUCCUCAUCGAAUUCUGAGUCUGGUUCUGAAUGAGACUCUGAUUCUGAGUCUGUGUCUGAGUUAGACUCAGAUUCUGAAUGUGCCGUCAAGCAUAUAUUUCUUUGCACAUCAUCUUCUUCUUUUUUGUUCUUUUCUGGCCAUUCUGCUUGUAUUUUCUUCCAUCGAAAUAUGGUGGCCUUGUGUUUCUUUGCCCUUCCAUAAGUCCUGGUGCCAACAUACUAGCCAUGGAUCUUUAACUCUGAAGUAAAACACUUCAAACAAAGUGAGUACACAGGCUCUGAUACCAAUUGAGAGUUCUAGUAUGAAUAAAAUAAAGGAGUUAGGGAAGAGAAUAAGAACACGAGAUUUAUAAUGGUUCGGCUUAAUCCAAGCCUACGUCCACUCUCCCACGAUAACAGCCUUCUUGGCUGGAUUCCACUAUGCAAUCAACAAGAGAUUACAACUUCGAGUGCAAACACUUAGUAGUAGAUCACACUAUCUCACUAAGUCACUCUCUUGGUAUUUCUCUCACGAUUACAAACGUUUAAGCUCUCAAGAGACAAGUAUAUGAUCGAAAGUCGCUUAGACUUUGGAAUUAUAAAUUCUACGCUCCGUCUCUUACUUGCUCAUCGGUCCAUGAUCUCCUUAAAUACUCCUCCACUUCCAAACUACCGUUGGACAGUAUCCCGGAGAAUCGUCUUCCAAUAUACCCAUUGGACAGCUCUGUAUCUAGAAGAUUUGGUAGCCGUUGAGUGACAAAGGUAAAAUCCCAAAUUGAUUCCGAUCGCCCAUACAAACGAAAUCUUGGUUUCCAUAAGUAAAGCUUCUUCGUAUAGAAAGUUCUUGUCUUCAAUCAAAUCAAUCUUGAUGUGGAAUCCAAACCAGAUCACUAGCCGUUGUAUGAUUGGGCUUGAGUUACGAUUCAUCGUAAUCUGGAUGUAAAGUCUGAGUCUUUAGACUUUACGAUAUGAGUCUUGAGACUUUACAAUCUGGGUCUGUAGACUUUACAAUAUGAGUCUUGAGUCUGACAGUCUUCAGACUUUGACACAGUCUUCAGACUUUGACACAGAAGUCUGAAAAUCUUCAAAAUAUACUCUGGACAUAUGUUACGUUCAGUCUUCUGGCCAUCUUCUGACUUUGAUAAAAUCCUUUACAUGUUCUAUCAUCUGCAUGGUCUAUUACUCAACCAUCAAACAUGUUAGUAGCCUUUGAUUUAUUUUGUCAUCUUCAAAACAUCAUAAGGGAUUUCCCUAACACCUGGUAAAAGUAAGGCCAAUGCCCAGAAAAGAGAAAAAAAAAUCAAACUCUUGAUAUAGUGAGUCAUAUCCCCAACAAUGUGAUACUUAAAAAACUCAAAUGUUGUUACAAUCAAUGGAGUUGUGAUAUAAAAAAAAAAAAAAAAAUCUUCGACAGGGAAGAAGGAAAGUGGUGGAAAUGUCAAGAUGAUCACCAACUUUAACUUCCCUAAACACUUUUUUUUAGCUUAAUGAUCCUUUCAUUUCUCAACCCAUGAACCAAACCCACAUUACGUCUCUUGUAAAGUUUCUUCUGAUUAUGGCACUUGAAUUAACCUAGGGGUUCGCAUGUUUUAAGCAUCGCUCGAAAAAAGUGUAAGCAAGAUUAUUUCUUUCUUAUUUUGCAGGGUUCUUGACUUGUAAACCCAGAGAUGAUUACCGAAUAUCACUCAUUCUUUCAAAAACCUCGACUCAAAGAGUCCCUUUUGUUAAGCCAUUGACCAAGCCCACAUUACGGUCCCUGUUAAAGACCCCUCAGAUUAGUAAGGUUGUACCACUUGCGAGAUUGCACAAAACCUUGUUUGGCAUGACGACAGUGAGAUAAAGUGAUUGCCAAAAUCUUGCGUCAAAGGUCAGGAUGAAACAACCCUUUUGAUAAAGAUGAGAGAAAAGUCCUUUUAGACAAAAAGAUCCCUCAUUUGACACAUGCAUGACACUCAUGUGUUCAGAUUGGAAUAUUCUUUUGAGAUAUUUCCCAAUAAAAAUUAGGUAAUGCAAGAAUGAUAGAUUUCAUCAUGCAUGAACCUCAUUUGAAUCAAUGCAUGUCUAUGAAUGCAUAUUGCCUCUCCUUCAAUUGUUUUGCAGGAGACAUAUCCCCAAGGAACAGAGUUGUCACCAAGUAAGUCUAUCUCUAUCCAUACCUUAAAUACUUGUCAUUGUACAGGUAUUCCUUUUCAAGCACCGGCGCUCGAUGGAGUCACCCCCAAAGAUUUUUCCUAGAUUCAUUAGGCAACCGUAGAAUGGUACGGGUCCUGAAAAUAAAUCACAGUUUAGGCGACUGUAGAAUGGUACAAGUCCUAGAUAGCAUUCAAGCGACUGUAGAAUGGUACGAGUCCUAGAAAAUAGAUCCCCGUUUAGGUGACCGUAGAAUGGUACGGGUCCUGGAAAAUCAUUUUUUUCGUUAAGGCGACCAUAGAAUGGUAUGGGUCUUAGACAAUAUUCAAGUGAUCAUAAAAUGAUACGGGUCCUGGAAAAUAAAUCUUCGUUUAGGCGACCGUAGAAUGGUACGGGUCUUAAACAACCUUAGUUUAGGCGACCGUAGAAUGGUAUGGAUCCUAGACAACCUCAGUUCAGGCGACCAUAAAAUGGUACGGGUCCUAGACAGCAUUUAGGCGAUCGUAGAAUAGUACGGGUCCUGGAAAAAUCAUUUUUUCGUGAAGGCGACUGUAGAAUGGUACAGGUCCUAGAUAACAUUCAGGCGACUAUAGAAUGGUACAGGUCCUAGAUAACAUUCAGGCGACUGUAGAAUGGUACGAGUCAUAGAAAAUAAAUCCCAGUUUAGGCGACCAUAGAAUGGUACGGGUCCUAGGCAACACCAGUUCAAGCGACUGUAGAAUGGUACGGAUCCUGGAAAAUCAUUUUUUUCGUUUAAACGAUCGUAAAAUGGUACAAGUCCUAGACACAACCAAACAAUGCCAUACGAGGCGAUCGUAGAAUGGUACGGGUCCUAGGAAAGUAGUCACUUUGUGAAGUUAUGUUACUAUUCUGGGCAACCAUAGAAUGGUACGGGUCAUGGACAUAUAACACCAAUCUAUCUUGAGUUACUCUACCAUCCCCAAAGGUAAGUAAUUUCAGGUAAGUCACUCAGUGCAUGUGCAUGACCAAAAUUUAGGCCUCAAUUUGUCUUUUAAGGCAACCUCUACGAGCUCACUUUCAAAGUGGGGCAGCUGUUGACACCUAAUUUUGGAAAAAUAAUAUUUCAUUUUGAACAAAUAAAAAGAAAAAAAUGAAAAUGGGAGAAAAUGAUUUGAUUGAAUUAUGCAAGGAAAUAUGGAAUUCUGAUGGAUGUCCGGAUUUUGUUAAAUGUAGCAACAAUUUUGAAAUCAAGUGAAAAAUGGGCAAGAAUUGAGCUGAUUAUCAAAUCAUACAAAUUUGAUUUAAUGUGAUAAGAAAUGGUAACUCGGGAAAUGCCAUGUAAAGAGACCAUUUUGAAUCACUAUAAAAGAGAGGCUCAUUUUCAUGACUGGGGGAGAGCAAAUUCGAAGGAAAAAUCGAGAAAAAAAUUGUUUUCUUCCGUUGAGCACAUUUUUCUUCAGUUUUUUUUGAAGAGUAAAAGUCAAAAAGAAGGAAAAGUCAUGUUUGCAGAAGGGAAACAGUAGAGAGAGAGAGUACAGAGACAGAGAGGGAGAGCGUAAAGAGAGAGAGAGAGAGAGAGAGAGAGAGAGAGAGAGAAAGCUACAGUGUCGUCUUCUUCGCAAGGGCUCCCCUGUCUGUGCCAGCCUGUCCUUGCGCUGGCCACUGCGCCGGCACCACGACGCUGAACACCGUCGCGCCUUGCCACCUCGCCAGUUCACUCCUUGCGCCCACCACCGCAACCGUGACCCAGCUACGCCUUCGCAUAUGCCGACUGCUACACCCGCGACUCCAGACCGCCACUCUGAGGUUUUCCCCUGUGAGAUCGCGUCUAGCCCUCGCUCCUCGCCGUCGCGACCUAGCCUCGACGCCAGCAGAUCUGUGAUCCCCUGCAGCAGCCGUAACUUGAGUGCCUGAGCUUCGCCUCUGCCGUCGCCGAUCUGCAGCACCAGAAGUCUUGGCGCUCUUGCUUGCCUUCGCUCAACGCCACCAGAGACCACACCGCCCUUGCUCGCCUCCGCUCGACGCUCAGCCACCGCUGCGCCGCUGUCCCUACCGUGACCCGACGCCACCAGAGCCCGCACCGUCGCUACUCGCCUCCGCUCGGUGCCCGACAACCAACCUCGCGCCCACGCUACCGCUGCUUGCCUCACCCACGUCUACACCAGCACCCGAUGCCCACGACCCUCCUCUGCUCCGACGCCACAGCCUCCCCCGUGCACCCCUUGCCGUCACCCUGUUUCGCGAGACUGUUGCUAGCGAAUCCCCUCACCGGAGCAACCAUCAUCUUCGCUUGGAAAAAAGAAAAAGAAAAAGAAAAAAAUCAAUUUAGGUAGUUUUUUCUUCUAUUUAUUUAUUGUAUUUAUUUUCAUUAUUUUUGUUAUUUUACUUUAUUUGUUCUUUUUAGUAUAAUUAGUCUUUAAUAUAUGAUUGGAAAUUUUAACACACCACUUGAUUCACAACCAAAUUUGGGUUUUUUUAGUUCAUCUAUAAGGUUUUAGAUGAAAUAAUUAAUCAAGCGGGAAUAAAAUUGAUAUUUUGAUAUUUAAGGCUUAAGAUCAAUUUAUCGAUUUUUCUAGCGAAAUACCAUCUCUCGAUCUAAAUGAUGUGUGAUAUUUUUUGGUAAUUUUGGAUGGUCUUGAUUGCUUUAUUUAUCUUGAAAUGUGUUUGAGUUAUAAUAUUGCAUGUUUUAGGGCUUACAUAUUUAGAAUAGGAAUUUUAUUUCGAAUUUUAAAAUCAAAAAUCAAAAAAAUCAAAUCAAUCAAUUUAGGUUGCUAUAUUUUUAAUUUGGAUUGCAUGUUUAAUUAUUUGGCAAUAAUUAAUUUCGAAAUUAAACAAAAACAAAAAAAAAAUCAUCAUGCAUAUGUCAUGUAGAAUUAUGGCAUAUUUUAUACAUGGUAAAAUUGCAUAUUUCAUUUUAAGUUUAGAUUAAUUUAGAUAGAAUGCAUCUUAAGUUAGAGAUUAGUAAGUUAAGAUAAUAUCUAGGUUUUAAUUAGGGUUUCGCCUGACCUAAUCCUUAAUAUAAGUUAGAUAGAAUCUUAAUUUAGCUAGAUAAUUUUCACAUUUUUCUAAUUUCAAAAUUUCAUAAAAAAUACAAAAAAAAAAAUGUCUUUGAAUGAAUUAGGUUCAAUCUCUAGGAUAGAUUGCAUUUUUUAAAAAUAAAAUAAAAUAAAAAUGUCAUUGCAUGUCAUUUAGAAUUAGAUUCAUGAAAUGCAUGCCACUUAGUAAUUUUGCUAGGUCCAUUUAAUUAGAAAUUGCAUGUCAUUAGAAUUAGGUCAUUUAGUUAAUGCUGCAUUGCAUAUUGCAUGAUUUUCAUUAAUCAAGCGAAAACAAAAAAGAAAUUGCGUGUUAAUUAGAAAUCAUGUCUAGGGUUGUUGAUGUGGAUUCUAAUUUAACAUUGCAGAUGCUUUGGUUGCUUUGAAGUAAGUUUUUGCAAUUUAUUCAUUGUUUAUCUGGGUGUUAAAUUGGUGGUUUGCGCACCCGCAUGAUCACCUUGCAUAUUAGGGAAAUAGAUUUAAAAUCAAUUCAAACUACAUGCGAAAAACAUUUUUGAAAAAUAAAAGAAUGGUACUAAAAGGGCAUUAGAGAAAUCUAGUGUAACCAAGUCCUCGAAUCCAUAAUCUCUGGUUUGUAGGAGUAAAGUAAAACUCCAAUUACUUUACUGGGGUUUCUAAUUUACCCACCAAAAAUAGAUUAGUGGCGACUCCUAGAUAAAAUUCAUUUGCAUGUUAAGAAAUUUGAACUUAAGUUGCGAAUUGGUAUGGGCCUGGGAGAGCUCGAGUUAAGUCUAGGCUUAACAAUCCAUUAGCCUAAUUUUAGGUGGUUCACCCGAAAAAUAGGUCACGAAAAAUGCCAAUCGCAAUCCGGCUAUCCAGAUGAAUGCAAGGCAACAACAAACUGCUUGCUGUCAAUUGUUUGCUAAGCAAAUAAUAGAAGACGGUUCACUCCUCUCUCUGAAUCUCCAUCCCAAGUAUUGACAAUCCUUAGAAAGAAAGGCUUACUUACUAGCGAGCCGAGGCGGCCUAAUCGCAAACACAUUUGGGAUUAUGACUUGGCAAAGAAAUGUGAUUAUCACAGCAGUGAAUUGGGACAUUCAACUGAUGAAUUUUUUGCCCUCAAACACCGAAUCCAAAACCUCUUAGAUACAAAGGCGUUCUCUUUCAGCAGUAAUUAGAAAAAUCCUCUGCCUAGCCAUGACGGAGGCGCAAAUGCUGUCACUAAGUGAAGAAGUUCUUAUCUUCACACUACUCAAUGAAGGAGUCUUUUUUUUUUUAUGCUCUCUAGGAUUUCCCGCUUUCUAAGAAUUCAAUUAUUGCUUUCGAUUCUAGGGUUUGCUUGUUCGCAAUUUUCAUUGUAAUAAUGUAAUUCAUUUGAUUCUAUUCAAUGAAAUUACAAUUUUAUUUCCAAUUUUGAGAGCAUGACGGGGUACACCAAACUAGUCCAAUGACGAUAUCCAACCAUGAAAAGAAAGUAUCAUCCAUGGAAAAAUCUUGAGGGCCGACUUUCUCAAGUUUCCUCCCGAAAACUUUUUCGAAAACAAAAGCAUUUCACUCUUAAAAAAAAAAAACAUUUUCCCAAAGCUUAUAGCAAAUUAAACCUGUUUAUUUGUCUGACUCAUUUACUUCUUGUCUCAGAGCAUAAUUCUAUAACUUGUUAUGACAUGGGACAUCAGAAAAUAGCAUAUCAAGAUUCAAUGAUCAUAAACUUGACUCGUGAUCAACAGGCUUAGAGCGCACUUGCAAUGAAAAAACAUAUUUGGGGCAAGUAAAAGAGGACCAUCAUUCUCCAGUGGAAGAUCUUGGGGGCAAGUUUGCUCCAAAUUACAGCGGCCUAUAUGUGGUGAAAAAUGUGCUUCUUGGAGGUGCAUUGAUCCUGGCAGAAAUGGAUGUUCAUGAGUUUUCUAUUCCAAUUAAUUCUAAUGCUAUCAAGAAGAAUUAUCCAUGAUUGAAUUUUCCAUGUCAUGUUUUGAACUGCAAGUAUUUUUAUGAUGAAUAAAUUGUCUCAAUGAGUUGCAAAUUCAAUGAUCCAAAUUUGUUACAAAUAUUGCAUGUUUUUCUUGAUGAAUUGUGUGAGAUAAAUUGAAUAUGUCAAAUGGGAUACUUUGGAAUGACGAAAGGCAAGUUUUAUUCCAUACACUGUUCAUACACUAAUCCCUAGUAAGUUGUGUGGAAAAAUUCCAUACUCAUGAGGAAAAGGAUGAUAUCGCAAAGGGUACGUCAACCAAGGUGAUGAGAGGCAAUUUCUUGUUCAACCCAAACCACUAUAGGUAUACCUAUUGUUUAGCUCUUUGAGCCCACACACAUGAAGAGUUUUUUAGAUUAUCCCUAUCAAGGAUCAUCCCAUACUGGGAUAAAAUUUGAAAUGAAUGAUAGGAAUUUUCUUACUCACACUUGCAUCAAUCUUCGAGUAUUGCUUUUGUAGAGUAACUUAUAUGGUAAUUGAAGUGCCUUAGGAUGAUGAAAAGCAAAUCUUUCUCUAUCAUAUACACUUUUAUCCAUUGCAUAGCCCAUUUGAGCCUAUGAAUUCGUUUCACAUUAAACCCAAUUGGUGAUCAUCCCUCACAUUGGGGCAAGGCAAAAAAAAAAAAAAAACAAACCACUCAAGUAGCAUGGUUUACAAUGCUGAUAAAAAAUGAAGGCUGUGCGAGUCUAAAGAAAAUAAGUGCAAAAAGAGGGGCAUGAAAAAGUAGUAUGCAAACCACCACACUGAGUGGUGCUGCUGGCUUCGAACUUUCUCCCCCUCACGAAGGGGAGAAGUUCGAAUCCCCAGCACGUCGCAGGUGGACUUACCUGUUUCAUAGGGGUGGUGGGUUCCUCCGUGGGUCCCAGGGUUUGCCCGUCGGUUGUUGGCUUACGGGUUUCCUUGGGUCAUCAAAAAAAAAAAAAAAAGCAGUAUGCAUGGUAAAAGCAAGGCCGCCAAUCCCCAAAGAGAAAAAUCAAACACUUGAUGUAGUGAGUCUGUCCCCAACAAGGCAGUACUAAGAAACUCAAGUGCUGUUGCAAUCAAUGGAGUUGUGAUGUAAAGAAAAUCUUCGACGGUGGAGAAGAAAAUUGGUGGAAAUGUUAAGAUGAUCACCAACUUUGACCCCCUUAAACAAUUUUUGAGCCUAAUGAUCCUUUUGUUUCUCACCAAUGAACCAAGCCUACGUUACAUCCCUUGCAAAGUCUCUUCAAAUUAGGACACUUGAAUUAAUGUAAAAGUUCAUAUGUUCGAAAGCAUGACUCGAAGAAGUGCGAGUAAAAUAAUUUAUGCCUCAUUUCAUAGGUUUCUUGACUUGUAAACCCCAAGACAAGUGAGAAAUGUCAUUUUUUAAUAGCCUCGACUCAAAGCGUCUCAUUGUUAAGCCAUUGACCGAGUCUACAUUACGGUCCUUAUUAAAGACCUCUUAGAUUGGUAGGACUGUAUCACUUGCAAGAUUCCUUAGACCCUUGUUUAGCAUGACAAUGGUAAGAUAGAGUGAUUGACAAAAUCCUGUAUCAAAGGUUAGGAUGAAAUGACAUUUUUAAAUGAGGAUGAGUGAAAUGUCCUUUCAGAUCGAAGGAUCCCUCAUUUGACAUAUCCAUAACACUCAUGUGUUCAGACUAGAAUAUUCUUUUGAAAUCUUUCCCAACGAAAAUUUGGUGAUGCAAGAUUGAUAGAAAUCAUCAUGCAUGAACUUCCCUUGAAUUAAUGCAUGUCUGUGACCAUAAAUGCAUGUUAUCUCUCCUACAACUAUGUUUUACAGGAGGCAUAUCCCCGAGGAUCAAAGACUUUACCAAGUAAGUAUAUCUCUAUCCAUACCUUAAAUACUUGUCAUUGCACAGGUAUUCCUUUUCAAGUGCACCGACACUCAACUUGGUUGAGCUGUCCCUGAAGAGAUUUUUCUCUAGAUUCAGUAUGAUUAAGGCGACUGAAGAAAGGUUCGGGUCCUAGUAGAUGAUCCAUGCUGCAACGCUAGGUAACCGAAGAAAGGUUUGAGUCUUAGCUAAGCAAAACCUCAUUUUAGGCGACCGUAAAAUGAUACGGGUCCUAGAUAAUGUUUAUGACUCUAACAGGCGACUGUAGAAAGGUAUGGGUUCUGGAAAAGCCAUUUCCUAUUCAAGCGAUCGUAGAAAGGUAUCGGUCCUAGAAAGUGACUUCUCGUUUAGGCAACCGUAAAAAGGUACGGGUUCUAGACAAUAUUUGUAGCUCUAACAGACGACUGUAGAAAGGUACAGGUCUUGGAAAAGCUAUCUCCCAUUCAGGCGACCGUAGAAAGGUACGGGUCAUGGAAAAGUGAUUCCUCAUUUAGGCGACUAUAGAAUAGUACAGGUCCUAAACAUUACACUUAGUGCUCCCAUUUAGGCGAUCGUAGAAAUGUACAGGUUCUAGACAAUGUUUGUUGCUCAUAUAGGCGACCGUAGAAAGGUACGAAUCUUGGAAAAACUAUUUCUCAUUCAGGUGACCGUAGAAAGGUAUGAGUCUUGAAAAAAUUAUUUUUUUCGUCAAGGCGACCAAAGAAAGGUUCAAGUCCUAAACAACCAAAUACGGUCAUAUUAGGUGACCGAAGAAAGUUUUUUUUUUUUAAAUACUUUUCCUCAAUCUAUGCCUAACAAAUUUGUGGGUGAUUAAAAUAUUUCUAUUUAUUUUAAAAAAAUAUUUUUCAAAUUACUCAUUUUCCGUAAAAGGACGCACUCGCAAUGUCGUGCGUAUUAAUAUUUGCUACUUUAGUGUAGUGGAAUGCUAAGCAAAGCCCAACAUACAUGAUGAUUCCAAAAGGGCAUGAGUAUCUGCCAUAUCAAUGAUGAUGCUCCUUGCUCUGGCGUUGUUAGCUGAUAGCCGAAUUCAUCCGCUAUAAAUCAUUAGAUAUUGUAGAGAUUGCUUUAUUAAGUUCCACCAGGGACGUGACUACAUAUGAGGUGACACUAUUCCAUUUUGUUGAACUAAGGAUUUUUGGUAAUUUGCAAUCGAAUGCAACUCUCAAUCAUUCCUUGUGUCAAUGCUCUAAUCAGUAAAGUGAUAUCCCGAAUUAACUUCCUAUGGAAAGUAUUUUCCCAUUACCCUAUCUGAAGAAACAUUUUUUUUGUGCUGGUAUAUACAAAUUGUUCCUGGCAAUAGAAAUGUUACUCGAACACACCUGUGAUUUGAAAAAGUAACUACAAUCCGUGGGAUGAGUACACUAAUGGUGCCAUAAGUUGUCUACGGUGCUCACUUUGGUGCCAAAAGUUUUCGUCGGAUCACUUAAGUGUCAAAUCGGAGGAAAAAUGAUCACUUUGGUGCCACCGACGAGAAAUUCCGGCCAAAAUGAUUACGUAGCUUUUAUAUAUAUAUAUAUAUAUAAAUCGACAUGACUUAAGAUUGUCCACGGUGGAUAGCAUAAAACGACGCCAUUUUCCUUUCUUCGUAAGAAACGACGUCAUUUCUUGCCACCCACCAUGGAUUCACAUAAGAAACGAUGUUGCGUUGCUCCAUAGAAAAAAACGAUGUCGCUGAAGAGGAAGUAAAAUAGGGUUCUUAUACGGUUCUCCUCGACGCUGGCAUAGCUCGCUCAGCCACCGUCAUUCGCUCGCCUGCCGUCGCUCAGCCACCGUUGUAGUUGCGCCGUCAUUCACGAUUGUUCAGGUUUGUCAUGUUCUCUACGUGGAUUAAUUUUGCGAAAAAUUUAGGGUUUCGACUGGCAAGUUAGGGCAUGGAGGGCAAAUUGAGGGCUCGGCUAAGGGGGAAAGUAGUGGGGAAAGUGGUGGCGAUGUCACUUUUAUGGGGAGGGAAUAGAAAAAUUAAUUCUUCCAUCGUUCGUUCGCUUUAUGUUGUGGGAACCGAAUAGAAAAAUAGGGUGCGGAGGGGCUUGACUCGAAGGGAAACAGUGGUGGGAUUGAAUUUGUUUGUUUAAUUAUUGGACUGCUUUUAUGGGGGAUCGAAUGUGAAUGUGAUUGAAUUGAAAAAUGGCUGGUGGGGACCUCACUUUGUUUAUUUAAUUCGAUUUAUUUUGUUUCUAUAAAUGCAUCAAAUUGGGGAGAUUUUAGUCACAUUUGUUCCUUGACAACAAAACGACAAGGACCUGCAUGUGAAGUUGUCGAUUCUGUCAUGUGGUUCCAACAAAACGACAAUGACUCUUUUUUUUUUUCAUUGGGUGCGGCAUUGACAUGGACGCGAAUCAGGUAGGUAUCAUUGUUUGCUAUGGUGGAGAGUUUGUUAUUGACACUAAAGAUUGUGAAUAUAGUUGUGGAAAUGAAUAUACUAUUUAUGUCAAUGUUUGGAAGCCAUCAUAUAUUGAUUUUCUGAGGGAUUUUGUGUAUUUUUUACGAUGCAAAGUGCAAAAACUACAUUACUAUGUUCCUGAGAAGGAAUUGAAUGAUGGGUUGAGAUUUUUUAAUGACGAUAAUGGUAUUAAGGAUAUUAGUUAUCAUUAUCUUCACGGUGAAGAAGCUAAGGUAUAUGUUGAGUAUUAUAGUAAGGAUGAGGAUACGGAUGAGGAUGGGGAUGAGCAGACCACCACUGAAGGAGGAGAAGUGAGGGAUCUUGUUCAAGCGAGUAAUUAGGUCGAGGAUGAGUUUAGGUUAGAUGAAGAGAAAAAUGAGAGGAAGAUAAGUCAUAUUGAUAGAGAUGAAUAAAGAGGGAGAUGUCUUGAAAUCUUGGGUGAAGAUUUGGGUGAAGAUGUGGGCGAUGAAGACUUCAUUGGAUUAGAAUGGGAAAUUAAUUUAUCUAGUGAAUCGGAAGAUGAAUGUUUGGCUUUAGUAAAUUUCCCAAGUGACGAAGAUGAUGAUGAACUCGCACAGUCAAGACAAAAGGAAAAGGAUUUUCUGAGAAAAAAAACUUGCAGCUUCAGCAAAAGGGCCCGAGCUAGUAAAUAGGGAUGGAGAUCCAGCUGAGGGUAAUAGAAGUGAAGAUGAAGAAAUCUGUAGCGAUGAAGUUGCUGGUUCGGAAAAUGAGCUUGACAAUGAUGAUAAAGAACCUGCUCCUCGAAGAAAAAGUAAGUACCCUUGUUAUGAUCCGACUGUUGAUAAACCUAUUUUGUGAGUGGGCAUGAGAUUUGACGAUGCCAAACAGUUCAAGGAAGCUGUUGUGAAGAACUCAAUUAGUGAACAGAGGAGCGUUAAAUUCAUUAGAAACACGAAGGAAUUUGUGAGAGCUAAAUGCUCACAACCUAAUUGUUCGUGGAAGCUCUAUGCCACGCUUAGUAAGAAUGGGUCAUUCCAGAUUAGGUCAUUUUAGGAGGAGCAUACUUGUCCAAUUAUAUUUAACAAUAAAAGGGUAACAAGUGAGUGGUUAUCAAAGCAUUUUUUUUCAAUACUAUCAAAGCAAUGCCCGAGAUCAAGAGUCCUCAAUUUCAACAGUUAGUAAAGGAGCAAGUGGGGGUUAAUAUGUCGAGGAAUCAAUGUAAGAGAGCUAAGAUGAGGGUGAUGAAGAUAUUGAUGGGUGGGUAUAAGGAAGAAUAAGCACAGGUAUGAGAUUAUGCUAGUGAAUGCAUGUUUCAAAACCCAUCUAGUAGGGUAUAUGUAGAGGUUGUGAAGAGGCCACUCCCUGAUCUUGGGCCUAAAUUUGAUAGAUUUUAUGUCUAUUUUGAUGCAUGCAAACGGGACUUCUUGGCUGGUUGUAGAAGAGUUAUAGGAUUGGGUGGAUGCUUUUUAAAGGGUUUAUGCAAGGGGGAGUUGUUGGUUGCUGUGGGAAGAGAUGCCAAUAAUUAAAUAUUCCCGAUAGCUUGGGUGGUAGUAAAGAUAGAGAACAAGGAUAUUUGGUCCUGGUUCCUAAAAAAUUUAAUGGCUAACCUUGAGAUAACCGAUGGGGGAGGAUGGGCAUUCAUGAGCGAUCGACAGAAGGUAAUUUCAUUGUCAAUUAAUUCACUCCCUUUUAAUAUUAAUUACUUGCAUAUUUUUCUUGACUUGUAUUUAUUGGUUUGAAUUUUUGUAGGGACUUAUUCCUGCAUUGGCUGAGUUGAUGCCACAUGCUGAGCAUAGAAUGUGCACGAGGCACAUAUAUGCAAACUGGUCAAGGAACUUCAAAGGAGAUAGGUUGCAGAAGCAAUUCUGGCAGAUAGCAAAGAGUACGAAUAUGGCUGAUUUCAUAUUAGCCAAAUAAGGAUUGUUGUAGCUGACAAAUGAAGGUUUUGAUGCACUCUUCUAAACAGAAGAGUUCAAAUGCGAUAUCAUUGAUAAUAACCUCAGUGAAGCUUUCAAUGGUAGAAUUUUAGAGGCCAGGUGUAAACAUCAUCAACAUGCUUGAUGAUAUUCAAGUUAUGGUUAUGACUAGACUGCAUAGGCAAAGAGAUGAGGCUACAAAAUGGAGUAGAGACUGUGGCCCUAGGAUUGUGAAGAGAUUGGAUGUAAAUAUUGUUGCUAGUAGGUUUUGACAUCCAAUUUAGAAUGGAGAUAAUGGAUAUGAGAUUAUUCAAAAUUUGGAUAAGUAUGUUGUCAACUUGGAUAGAAGAAAAUGUUCAUGCCGAGCCUGUCAACUGAAUGUAAUUCCCUGUGCCCAUGUCAUUUGUGCUAUUCGAAUGAAGCAAGAAAACCCAGAUGAUUACCUACAUAAUUGGUGCAAAAAAAGCUCAUGCCUUACUUCAUACCAAUCCAUGAUGCUGCCUAUCAGAAGUAGCAAAUUUUGGGAGCCAACAAAUCAUGAAAUCCCUCUACCUUUACCGCUUAAGAAACAAAUAGGAAUGCCAAAAAAGAGACGAAGAAUGUAGCAGGAAGAGGCAUCAAGUCAAAGGAUGAGUAGGACUAGAUCAAAGAUGAAAUGCUCCUAUUGCCGCAAGUAAGGGCACAAUAAGAAAGGUUGUGAGCUAAAAAAGCAGCAUCAACAACAAGAUGCAAUGGCUGAUUCAGUGCUAGGGAUAGGACCUACUGAAGAGUUUCUUGUUGGGCCUAUUGAAGGGAGGACAGAAGGCCCUGUUGUAAUGCCUACUGAAGGGAAAACAGAAAGCCAUGCUGUAAGGUAAGUAUCAUCUUUGUCUCAGUAACUUUACAGCUCUUAUUCGAUAGAGUUUGAUGGUUGACCAUGUGUACUGGCUUCUCUUGUGCUUUUCCUCUGUCAUGCACUUGUGAUUUGAGAAGUUUUCUCCAUUUGUUUCCACCAUGAAAAUGAGUAGAUGUUUAAUUAUUCGUUGUAAUUGGUCAUAAUCCUAAUACAGUACAUUGUUGUAAGGUCUACUAAAGGGCCAAAAAAAUGCCCUGUUGUAGGCUCAAGUGUAGAGACAGGGACUGGAAUGGGCAAGACAGCAAUAACAACAACUGAGUUCAUAGUUGAGCAAACAAGAAAAAAAUAUCAUGUAAGCUGUACAUCGCUGUAUUUGGUCUUUUAUGGGCUAAAAUUUACAUUUGUUAUGUGUUUCUCAGGUGAGAAGAUGAGCAACUGCACAAGUUGCAGAGGUUGCUACAAGGAUUGUUGUUGCUGAAAAUGAUGCACCACAACGAACAAGAGGGGCUCUUGGAAAAAGAUUAAGGCAAUAUGGUUAUGUGAUUUACACAAAUAAACGUACUGGAAGACUAUUUUGAAUGUAAGAUUUAUAGGCCUCAUGCAUUUAAUUUUUUGUACUUCAAUUCAUUUGGUUGACAAUAUCACUAUGUUCUUGUAGCCGAAGAGAACUUCGGAGGUACUUCUCUCUCAAGGUGGGCCAACUCAAGAAUCAAGGGCGCAACCAAAGAAGAGUCCUCCAAAGAAGAAGAAGAAGACAGCAGGUAUAGCUGCGAAACAGCCAUCCAAAAAAAAACCCAACACUAAUUCUAUCUCAACCAACAAUUGGGAGCAGUAGUGAUGAUAUGGACCAACACAUGACAUGUGCUAGAACAAAAAUAACCGCCGUAAAAAACAAGGAAAAGGAAAAUAAGGUGACAGAAAGCCCAGUUAAAGAACAUGCACAUCAGGUUCAAAAGAGUGCUCAGAUUAUGAAUCAAUUCAAAGCUCCAAGAGGAAAAUGAGAUUAGGGUGUUGUCAAUAUUAACCAAUGGGAGGGUGCUGGACAUGGUCUCUUUUCAUGUUUUCUGUUUUUAGGAGUGUGCUGGAUAUUAUAUCACUGAUGGUAGUUGCUGCCUGCAUAUUGCCAUUGUUUUUUUUUUUUUUAAGAGAGUGCUGAACUUUUGAUGAUUGGGGAAUGAAGUUAGACAUGCUUUUUUUUUUUCUUUUGUAAACAAUCAAUCAAUGUUAAUGGCAAGUAUUGGAAUGACUAUUCAUUUUCUCUUGUGUUGGUUUUGGCUAGAAUGUUAGCAAGUCAGUUAUGCUAUAUAUUUUAUUUUUGAUGUUACUACAAUGUUGCUGUUGCUGCAAUGUUGCUGUUGUUGGUUGAAGUUGGGGAUUAUAAUGAAUUUGCGGGGUUCUGAUUAUAUGUGCUGCUACAAGAACACUUUGGGUGCUGGUAUAUCUUGUUGCAUCAACACCUGUAUGGGCUGGUGCAAGAAAAUACACCAGCAACUCAACUGAUGCAAGAAGAAGGUGCAAGGACAAUGUGCAUUUGAAAUGUGACGUUUGGCACUAACAUAUUCUUUUUUAAAAAAACUUGUGCAACAUAAGUGAUCACUUUGUAAUCGCGACUGGCACUUAAAUGAUCAAUUUUAUAAAAACUUGACACUCAAGCGAUCACUAUUUACAACUUAUGGCAUUGAAAUGGUCAAUCAUGAAUUUGCCACCAUCCUUUAAUUUCGGCCAUAGUUUGCAGUUGCAGCAAACCGGCAAACCAGCAAACCAUUACCAAAUAAAAAAUGCAGUAAACCAUUACCAAAUAAAAAAAAUGCAGCAAACCAUUACCAAAUAAAAAAUGCAGCAAACCAUUACCAAAUAAAAAAAUGUAGCAAACCAUUACCAAAAGCUUUCAAUGCAGCAAACUAUUACCAAAUAAAAAAUGCAGCAAACCAUUAUAUUUGUAGCAAAAACUAACCAAAACAAACAUUGACAAUACACAACUAACCAACAAAACUUUUAAGUGCUCACAACUAAUGCAUUCCAAGUCUAACAUUGCAUUUCUAUCCAUAGAUUACAACAACAAAACAUUUUGCUCUAUACAAAAAUUGCAGCAAACCAAAAAAUACAUUUUACUUAUAAAUAAUCAAAUACAAAUACAUAUUCCACGUCUUCGACUAUGGUAGACAUACAAACUUCUUCUCAUUACUCACUUUACAUUUGAAUAAACUACCCAAGAGAAUAAUAACACAAUCAACGCUCGAUAAAAGUUUCUUCCAAUUUUCAGCCUUGAAACUUCUCUCUUCAAAUGGUCCACCAGAGAUGUUAAACCCUUCAUUUGAGCUUGCAUUGAGUUGACAUCCUCCAACUCGUCCAUUAACAUAAGUGGAGGUUGAUUUCAGCCUUCAAGUAACUCCAAUAUCACAUUUGUCGCUCGAUCAGAGAAUUUCCUAUCAACCCAUUUGAAAUAUUGACACUUCGAGCCUUCUCUAUAUCUGCCGCACCCAUGGAAUCUUCUCCUAGGAUUCAACCGAGUCCAAGAUGUUCUUCUUGGACUCGGUAACCCACAAUAACAGUAACACUCACCAUCUAAUUCACUUUUCUUAUAGGAAUGUGAUCCACUGCUGAAGCUUUUGUCCUCCAUUUGCAAGAACGGGUUGAUAACUUUGGGAGAAAAUCGAAGUAUGCACUCGAAAUGGUCGAAUUGGGGAUUUAGGGUUUUCAACUUCCGGUUCUAGUCGAAAUUGGGGAUUUAGGAUUUCUUAUUUGGGGGAAAACGGUAAACGGCAUCGUUUUGUUCUUUGUAUGCUGAUUGUAUUCUCCGGCGAUUCACGUCGGCGUCAAAAUUAAUAAAAAAAACUGCCACGUCGGAUUUCCGGCCAACCAAAUUGGCGAUGGCACCAAAGUGAUCAUUUUUCAAAAUUUUUGGUACUUAAGUGAUCCGAACGGAAACUUUUGGCACCAAAGUGAGCGCCGUACACAACUUAUGGCACCAAUAGUAUACUUCUCCCACAAUCCGUGGAUGAGCGCGUGCUUGCAUUUUUGGAAAUUUCUAUAUUAAUCCAAAUGUUAAACAUUUUCAGUUGGAUAUUUCAUGUUAAUGGAAAAGCUGGUACUUAAUUCGUCUGGAUCAGAUUGUCCUAACUACGUUCCCAGAAUUCAUUACUCACGGUCGUUCCGAAUCAACUAGGUAGAAAAGUGUGGUGGAAGUUAGAGAUAUUUGCAGAUUUCAAAGAAGAAAAAAUGGCUUCUUCUAUUUUUAUUAUUAUUAUUACUUAUCAUUAUUACAAAGCACAUAACUUAUAAAUAGAGCCUAGGACGGCUAACAAUUAGCAAACAAUAGGAAUAAAUUUCGUGCUUCCUAAUUCUUGCGGUUUACUUCCUAAUUCCAAGGAUUCAGAAAUAAAAAGGAAAUAAAAUAAAUGAAAACAAAAUAAUUUAACAUCCUGAGAUUAUCUUUGAGAUAUUCGAGAUUUUCUUCUAAUUCUUCGACACCCCCUUCAAGUUGGUAGGUAAAUGUCUAUCAUGCUCAACUUGUUGACGAGAGACUCGAAGUUAGGUUUGAACAAUCCCUUUGUAAAAAUGUUAGCUAUUUGUUGUGUUGUGGGCACAAAUUGCAGAUAAAUAAUCGAUUUUUUUUUUUUAAAUAUUCGCUGAAAAAAAUAACAGUAAAUUGAACAUAUACACACUCAUAUAUUUUCGUCAAUUGAACAGAUAAAUAAAAUAAAAUAACCGUUCGACAUUCAUAUCUUUUCGACAAAUCUGUCAGCUCAUGGGACCGCGGCAACUGUGCACAAGGAUCUGCAUGUUGAGGCUGGUAAUGCGAUGCGAACGUCGAGCAACUAAAGGAAACAGCUAUACAAGAGGAGCAACCUACUAAACAAAAGGAUGUUCGAACUGAUGGAAAGAAAGACGGUGAAGACGACCGAGUCUAUCUUGAAUUCGAGCCUACGAUUGGUUUCUCCCAGGUCAUGUCAUUCGACUGGUCUCUCUUUUUCUCUCCUGAUCGUAAAAAGUACUUUCAACUCUCUCCUAUCACGUCAGAUGAUUCCACAACCAAUUUCGAUUAUCUCGACUUUCUCUGCAUUCUCGGCACUUUGCAAGUGGGAGUCUAUCCUCAUGCAGUGGCUCUGUUUUACUCCAAUGUAUAUUUUCCUAGCUACGUCAAAUUUGUCUUUACAUUUGGAAAGGAAAACUUUUCCGUGCAUGCUAAACAGUUAGCCGAUAUGAUUCAAACUCCGUUUCCUGAUUUUCUGAAAAUUCCCGGGAGCUACGCCGUCGCUUACAAAUUCGUGCCUGAAGAUCCUGACUUUGCUCCUGGUUACAAAUCAUGUCCCUCUCAAUCUUCUCUGAAACCCUGGCCUUCUUUGUUUUGUGUAUGAGAUUGCAUUGAUAGCUUCAUUCGGAGGAGAGUGGCGUGGAAUAUGAUUUGUUGUAUAGAAGAAACAAGCAAUAGUCAUUUUGUUUCACAGGAAAUGAAUUGUUAAUAUUUAUUUUUUAAAUCACUGCUUCUAUCAUUUAUAAAAAUUAGUAAAUGAAAAAUAUUUUCAUCAUUCAUAAAACUGUCAAGACGUAAAUUGCAGUUGAUGAAAACUUUUUUAGUUGACUAGUUACUUUCCGCGAUACAAGUGAUUAUGAAAAUAUAUUCCAAGUAAUUUAUUUUCCAUGAGAUAGUCGGAGCCUUAUAUUUCAUUAAAAAAGGAAGGUAAUCGGAAGAGUUAUCAUGCUUUUGGAUAAAAGAAUUAGUAGUAGUAGUUCACAUGCCAAAUUGUUUGAUCUUUUGGAAAAAAAGAUGAUGGGUAAAAAUUUUCUUAUAUUGUGUAGAGUUCUGGAUCAUGAUUUUGAAAACGUGGUAUCUUCAUAUCCCUUUUUCAAUGUUUGGCAUUUGUUUUACUCUUUUUCCUAUAAUCACCAUCGUAGAAUUAAUGGUUGAUUAAACUUUAUUUCUGUUAGUAAAAUUUCUAUGUCAAUCUCUCCUUUUGUUCUUGGAAGCUAAGAAAUUCAAACAAUCUCAUUCACAAACUACUCAUGGGGUCCUGUCCCGAGGUGUAGUGUCGCGACCUAAAUUUUGGAUACACCAACUAGGUUUAAGCUAAUAGAUUACUAAAUUUUAAACUUAGCUCAGGCUCUCCCAAGCCCAUACCAAUUUGCGACUUAGAUUCAAAUUUUAACAUGCAAAUGAAUUUUAUUUAUGAGUCAUCACUAAUCAGUUUAUGGUAGGUCGAUUAGACACCUAAGUAAAAUAAUGGAAGAAUUAUUUUACUCCUAAGAAUCAAAGACUUUGGGUAUGUGGAUUAGUUACACGAAACUUCUCUAGUGCCCUUUCGGUACCAUUUCUUUUUAUUUUCAAAAAGAAAUGGUACCGAAAGGGCAUACGGGUGAUCAUACGGGUGUUUAAUCAUUAUUAAACACUUAAUGAAUCAAACGAAUUGCAUCAAAAGAAUUAAAUGCACAAAGCAAACAAUUUUUUUGGGUUUUCUUUUAUCUUGAAAUUAAAAGAUGCACUUUAACUACAUGACCUAAUUUUAUUAACAAGCUAUUUCUAAUUAAAUGAACCUAACAUGCAAACUAUUUGAUAUGCACCUAAUAUUUUUAUAUUUUUUUAUUAAAAUUCGGAAUUAAUAAAAAAAAAAGCUAAUUAAACUAUCUAAAAUGAAUGGUCAUCUAAUUUAGUUUAUGGAUUAAUUUGACUUAAAUCCUAUCGUAUCUUAGAAAACUAUAUUUUUUUAAAGAAAAAUGAGAUUAUUAAAAUGUGCAAACAUUAUUUAAAAGUCUAUCUAUAUGCAAAAAAAACCAUGAAAGAAAGCCACGGCGGCCCACCAGCGGUUCUAAAAUGGUUGCACACCAGUUCUACCUCAUUAGCUCUACACCAGCGGCCCACCGGAUGCCACCUAGCCCUCGGCGGUUUCCCUCACUCUCCUCCUUCAUUCCCUAGUGUCAACCGUCAUCUUCAGUAGCUGAUUGAUCUGUAAAAACUAAUCUGCUUGACUCAUUUCAAAGAAUCGGCGAUCAAGUCGGUUUUCAAGUCUACCAGCUCAAUCAUUGGUCCGGUGGCUGAGAUUGGUGAACCACACUCGCCGAUCUAUCCUCGAGUCUAUUCCCGACCUUGUUGUGGUCAGGAACCGGUAAAUCAACCACCAAAAUACCUCCGGCGGUCCGAUCCGUUUCUAGAAUCCCUAAAACUAGCCCAAGCGAGACCGGUUUUGUUCCAAUCCAAGCCGGCGGCCACUGGAGCUCUUUGGCACCCCCAGCUAUUGACAAUCACCUAUUGCGGAAACCUCAGACCUUGCUGUGGUCCAACAUUGGCCUCAAAACUAGCUUUAGUUUCCAGAAGAUGCAAAUCAAGGAUCCAUUGUAGCAGAAAAACUUGCAUUAGCAUCUAUCGGAAGGUACAACAAGUUUGAUCAAGCAAGAAGAUUGGGAAUUGUUAGUUAGGUGAGCUUUAGAUGUGAUUUGUCUCAUGUCGGUGCAAAACAUUGCCUUCAACAUCACCAAUGAGAAGACAACAACGGAAUUGAUGAUGACUUUGUCAAACGUGUACAAGAAGCCAUUUGCAUCAAUUAAGGUAUAUUUGAUACAUCAUCUUUUCAAUUUGAAGAUGGACAAAGGUACUUUUAUGACAAUUCACAUCGACAAAUUCAAUGUGAUCAUGUCUCAAUUGAGUACAAUGGAUAUCAAAUAUGCUGAUGAGGUAAAAAUUAUAAUUUUAUAUUCUUUAUGUAAAAGUUAGAGUGCAAUUAUGACUACAGUGAGUAGUUCAUUUGAUAAAAGAAGUGAAGUUUCAAAAAAUCUAAGACUUUAUUCUAAGUGAGUACGUUUGUAAAAGAGAAUUGGGCAAAUCUUUGGGCACUGCCUUAAAUAUUGAAGGCUCAGGGAGAAGCAAUCAACAAGGUUGGAACUAGUACUAUGGUAGAUCAAAGUCCAAAGAGAGAAGCAAAUCAAGACAUUGUAGUGAAAUAAUUUGCUGGAAUUGUGUAGAAAAAGGUCUUAUGAGACAAGAUUGUAGAACCCCAAAUUAGAAAAUUUAGUAUCGGAAUCUAAAUCAUGAUGAGGUCAAAUCUUUGAAUGCAACCCUUGAAAAGAUACUUGACAAUGAUGCCUUAAUUUUGAGCAUAUUUUUGCAUAAAUUUUGAACUCAAAUGUUUUUUUUUUUAUAAUCAAGAUCCGGCUUAGUACAUCUUACGGGUGCUCACGGCCGCUACAGGCCCAAUGGAGACAACCGAUUAUAUUUAGAGGGAGGCUAGCACAUGACCCCACCAUCAUGACCCCCUCACUUAAGACGUGUUAGUAACACGGAGAUUCGAAGUCAUUUCCUCGGCGUUGAGGUAGUAGAGCCCAACUAGCGCAGCUGCCCACCGGUGGGUUUGAACUCAAAUGCUUUGUUUGCUUUUCUUUUCUUUUUCUUUUUUUGGUAAAAGUAAGCAAUAUAUUAGGGAAGGUCAAACUAUACAAGCAACAUAGCUCUAAAAACUUGUACUCAAGAUGAACACGCUCAUUGUGAGUGGAAGGAAGCAGUGGAAAAAGCCAAGCAGCAACAACAAAACGACCAACAGAGAGCCAAUGGCAAACAAAAAAAUUAUGCAAAAAAAAUUGUGCACUCUAUUUCGUUGCAAACAGAGAGACAACGGCAAACAAACAUGGCUCUCAAAUGCUUUGUUGUACUCUAUUUCAUGCAAAAAAAUAAUGCACAAUUUUGUUGUUGGAUAGUUUGGAAAGGUUUAACUUGCAAAUAAUAAAGCUUUAGAUAUUGUGAGGAAGGAGUUCACAAAAAAAUUGCUAGUGGACAUCAGUGAAAGUUGCAAAAUGUUAGAUUUCUUCCGGUCCUUAAGAGAAAUCUAAUCCCUACAAAUCAAGUAGACCACCUAAUACGUAACUUAUUUUGGAGACUACUAUCAAAAAAUGGAAAAAAGUGAGUUAGGAACAUUAUACAUGAUUGAAAGCAAUAGAAAAACAUUUAAUGAGUCGGAAACUAAUUCCUAAUUGUGAAACCACAAACUUGGAUACAUGAGCAAAAAGGGAAUGAAGCUGUUAGAAUAAAAGGGAAAAUAGCUUAAUCUAAAGUCCAUAAAAAUUGGUCUACAUGAGAUUUGCAUUCUAGGGAAGCAAAAAUGUGUUAGUUUUCCACAAAUUGGAAAAGAACAAGGAAAAAAAGAAUUGAGUUGGUACACAUAAAUGUGUAGGGGCGCCCCUAUGCAUUUUCUAAAGGUUUGUGUUACCACAUCGCAUCCACUGAUGACUCCAUUAGAAAAGUAUGAGUUUAUUUUUUGAAUAAUUUUGAUGUAUGUAGUACUUUUAAAUAAUGUAAAGCUGAAGUGGGAGAAUGAGUCUAGUUUAAAGAUUAAAUAUCUAAGGUUGGACGAUGGUGGUGGUUAUAAUAGGAAGGAGUUCAAGUAGUUUUGUGUAAAGAAUUGAAUUAGGAUGAAAAGAAAAGUUCUAAGCACCAUCAAAAUGGAAUUACUGAGAGGAUAAAUCGUACAUUAAAUGACCGUGCAAAAAGAUGCAUACAGGAUUACCUAAGAAAUUUUCAGUGGAUGCAGUUAACAGAGCAAUAUAUCUAAUCAACAAAUGACCUUCAGUUUCCCUUGAUUUUAAGUUACCAUAACAAGAAUGGAUUGGAAAGAAGAUAAAUAUCCUACCCAAAAAGUUUUUUGUUGCAUUGUGUAUAUCCACAUAGAUUCUAAAAAUAGGGAGAAGGUUGAUGCAAAUGCUAAGAAAAAUUUUCUCUUUGGAUUUGAUUUGGAUUAUUUUGGCUAUCAACUUUGGAUGAUCAAAAUAGAAAAAUAAUAAGAACAAAUGAUGCUAAAUUUGAUGAAAGUAUGUUAUACAAGGAUAAGCCUAUUAUAGAAUUUAGUGUGAGGAAACAAAUGGAGGAAACUACAUAGAUUGAAUUGGAAGGGGCUUUUAAGAUUAUUUUGGUUAGAAAUCCUGAAACUAUUGAUGUAGAUUAUAAUAUAAAAAAAAAACGAAAACAAGAAUCACAUACACCUAAAUCCACUUCAAGACUUUAAGUAGAUCAAGUAGAGCAUUUAAAUCUAUAUAGAGGUAUUCUCGAGCAUUACAUUAUUUGCUUAGUGCUGGUGAACCAAAAUCUAUAUAGAGAUAUUCUCGAGCAUUACAUUAUUUGCUUAGUGCUGGUGAAGCAAUGCAAGUCAAACAUUCUAUUAAGUGGAAUUGACAAUUUGAAAUGAGUUAGAUACACCGGAUAAGAAUAGAAUAUAGGUUUUAACUCACUUACAAGAUAGAAAGAACACAUUAUAGAAUAAAUGGAAGUACUAGAUCUAAGAAUAACUCGAUGAUAGCAAGAGGCAAGAAAGAUAGUAGCAGAAGGUUUUUAGCAAAAGAAAUGAACUAACUUCAUGCAAACUUUCUCUCAAGUUGUGAAAUUGAAUAUUAUCGGGCUAGUGUUAAGUAUUGUUGCUCUUGAGAACUUACAUCUAGAGCAGUUAAAUGGAAAGACGACAUUCUUCCAUGAUGACUUGGAGGAGGACAUAUACAUCAUAUAACCAAAAGGAUUUCAAAUUCCCAAUGAAGAAAAUUAUGUUCACAAAUUAAAGAAAAGUCUAGAUGAUUUGAAACAAACUCCUAGAUAUUGGUAUAAAUUUUUUUAAAACAUGUGUAAUAACAAGUUUACUAGAUGUAAAUUAUUUCUUUAUUGUUACUUUAAAAGAAUCGAUGACUACUAUAUUAUUUUGUUAUUGUAUGUGAAUGAUAUGCUCAUUGCAAGAUCCAACGUUAGGCAAAUCAAGAUAUUAAAGCGUUAAUUUUCAAAGGAGUUUGAAAUCAAGGACUUAGGAGCAACAAAUCAAAUUCUUGGUUAAGGAUCACACAAGAAAGAUAUGCAUAAUUUCAAAAGUUGUCUCAAGAAAAGUAUUGAGAACAUCGGGCAAAUUCGGAGUUCUAAAUGCAAAGCCUAGAAUUAAUCAUUUCGAGAGUCUCUUCAAGCUCUUGAAAAAGCAGUCAUCAAAGAUAGUUGAGGAGAAGGAUUAUAUGGCUAAGGUGCCUUAUGGUCAGCUGUUGGCAAGUUAAUAUAUGAUGUAUUCCAAACCAGCUAUAGCUCACACAAUGGUUUAUGGUGAAGUGGCUAUUAAGAUAACUGAGAGGCACUUCAAGAUUAUGGUAAGUUGUUGGCAAAUUGAUAUAUGCUAUGGUGUGUACCAAACUAGCUAUAGCUCACAUAGUAGUGGUAGUCAUGAGCAAAUAUACGGCUAAUUUAGGAAGCAAAAUUGGGAAACGGUAAAGUGGCUAUUAAGAUAAUUGAGACUCAUUUUGGGUUUAUGGUAAUUUAUUGGCAAAUCGAUACAUUUGAUGGUGUAUACCAAACUAGCUAUAGUUCACACAGUGAUAGUCGUGAGCAAAUAUAUGGCUAAUCUAGGAAUAAAGCAUUUGUAAACUACAAAUGGCUAUUAAGAUACCCGAGAGACACUUCAAAUAUGUCACUAUGUCUUAUGGAAAAUAAUAUGACUUUACAAGUCUUUCUCAAUAAAAAUCUUGACUUGGACAAUAGGAAGGACACCUCACAUUAUGCUUUUGACCUAGGGGAUACUGCAGUCAGUUGAAUAUAUAGACUUCAUAAUUGUGUCUCUCUAUGUCACUAAAGCUAAGUGUCCCUCUCAGCCACUGAAGCUAAGUAUGACGUUAUAUACGAAGCUGACAAUGAGAUGAUUUGGUUGAAGAAUUCUUUGAACAAUAUAGACAAGAAGCAAGAUAAUAGUGUUCAAUGACACUUGUCUUGCAAAGAAUCUAGUAUUUUAUUUAAGAACAAAGCAUAUUGAAUAGAAGUAUCAUCAUAUUCGUCAGCCGGAAAAUCUACCACAUAAGUUAACCAAGGUUGUCAUCACUAAAAGGACCGAGGCUGUGCCAUUCCCUUUGUUGGCCUCACAGUUAGUGAUGAGGAGGUCAUAGCACUAGGACAAUUAUGGUUACAAAGUCAAGUGAAGACUAUAGAAAACUAUUGCUAUUUUUAAGAUUAGCAUCCAAGUGGGUGAUUGAUAAAGACCAAUAAUACAAAAGCAGAGAGGCUUUUCACGGCUAAUGAUAUGCACGUAAUUUUCAUGUUAAAGCAGAGAAAAAAUAUCAUGUUAAUGGUAUAUACGUAAUUCCUAUAUAACUUGUAUGCAUAGGGCAAUAAUUUUGUGGUCGUAACCCUAAAACUUGUAAUGUUGAAAAUUGAUAAUAAUACUGAUGAUGAAGAAAUUGUGUAGUGCGAUGUUUUUUCCCUUCCUAAUUUUGGAAGGUUUUCUAUGUAAAAAUUCACGUCUUCUUUAUUUUUUUCACUUCGACCAUUUUUAUUCGUACCAAUUGUCACCAUUGUUGUCUUUGUCAUCGAUAUUCGAAAUCUGAGGGGCAUUAUGGAAUUGAGGCUGACCGCUGCAGCAAAAUUGGCAGUGGCAACCAAGUAGGCAGAGGCCGACCGUCAUCUCUUGCUGUCUGAAUGAUUCAUUUCCAUCCGUAACCUGUUCUCUUUCCUUUGGAGAACCAAGCCGCUCAGAUACUGCGCAUUGGCAGAACCGGUGCUUUGAACCAUCUUAGAGAAGGCGCUUGCUUCAUUUGACAGCAGAUUCUCUGGAGUGUCGUGUUCUGCUACCUGAAGUGAAUGAUUGAAGGCAUCCUAAUUGAUACUUGCAUAAGAAAAUAGAAAUGCAACAAUAUUGAAAUGCAUGAAUAGUUAAUUGGGGUCACGGUCCUUCUAAGUUGACGAGAAGUUUCAAGUGCCCUAAGAAUCAUACAUAUUCAUGAUGACAAACCAUGACUAUGCAUUUCAUGCUAGUACUGAUGUAUGCAUGAUGAACUGUGAUGGUAGAACAUACUUGGCCGGCAUCGAGCACAAGAACUCGGUCAGAGUCGAUGAUGGUGUUAAGUCUGUGGGCGAUGAUGAGCAUGGUGCAGUAGGUAAAUUCUUCCCGGAUGGUUUUCUGGACGAGAGCAUCAGUUCUGAGAUCGACGGCCGCAGUUGCUUCAUCGAGAACAAGAAUCUUUGACCUUCUUAGUAAUGCUCGAGCAAGACACAGCAGUUGCCUCUGUCCGACGCUGAAGUUCUCUCCACCCUCGGAAACCUUGACAAAGCACAACCAACAUCAAUUAAACCAAUGGAUAUUUUUAACUUCACCUGUCUUAACUAGCAAGGAAAAACGACUGAUGCAUUCUGAAGCCAAUAAAAUAAUGCACAGCAUUACAUCGGCCUCUUGCGUAUGGAAAGACCAAAUAUCUAUAAAAAUCAACCUAUCAACUUCAGUUUAACACUACAGAUACUAUAACAUCUAACAUAUCUGGACAAUAUUAUGGAACGGAUCCUUCAGCAUUUCUUGGAGGUAAAUCAAUUCCAACAUCUGUACCACUCUGUCCAGUAUACCACCAAGUCCAGCCCACAUUGACGGCUCUUUUUUUCUGCCUUGCAGUCUUAUCAUUUAGUUCAGGUGGAGGAAAUUAUAUAUCAAAUGGGAAUUCUGGAGGUAACAGUGGCGCAAGCAGAGCAUUUGAGCAAAAAUAUUUGUAAUCAUACCUAUAAGAUUAUUGCUAAUUAUUUCUCACUAAUCUUGUCAACAUCUUUAACUUCAAAAAGUUUUAAAAACCAUGUCAGACUUAUUUCCUUAAUAUUAAUUCAUGUCGCUUGCCUUGUAUUGGUUCCAUUCAAUCUCUCUCCUCUCUGCCAAAGGGCAUUAACCUCGUCAAUGGUUAUUGUCACAAUCUCAAUUGCAUGCUUUAGACAGCCUCUAACAAUUCCUUCAAAGUACAAUUUGCAUAACUUAGAUAUUUUCUCUUUAACAUUGCAGAUAACUACCGAUGAUUUCAUCAACAUAAACCUGAAUUCAAUAGAAAUCGCAAUGAUCCCUUGGAUUAAGAUUAAGAUUUUACAUCUAGUAAAUUUUCGCAAGCUUACCUCAGCAUCCAGGCCAUAAAAGUUCCUCCUGAUAACAUCCUUCAAAUGUGCUCUCUCCAAAGCCUCCCAGAGGUCAGCAUCUUCAUGUUCAUUGAAAGGGUCAAGAUUGAAUCUCACAGCUCCUACACAAAAUUGAAAACAAAGAAACUAUUAGAGACGGUACUUAUUCUCCUAAAGUUUCUUUCUGGUAUAUGGUUGAAGAUUCUCAGUCCACAGUAAUGGAGUUCAGUGUAUGCAGUUAUGAUUCGUACUGUAGCCUUUUUCACAUGAAAUAACAGAACUCAUGAAAAGAAAGUUUUUCAAUUUUUUUAUGCAGAAUGUUCCUUGGAAUCAAACCAAAGUAAAAGGACAGUGGAUUAAGACAUUUUAACAGAUUAGUACUGGUCAGCAGACAGUUCACGUCGAGAGAAAGUGACAGUCCAGGGGUAGUUGGGCAAAGAAUUGGAUUGCAAGAAUAGUAAGUGGCUCUUGUGAAUGAUACUUGGUCCGAGGAGUACAGAGUUCUGGACCUCCAGUAUCAGACAUAAUAAGUGCAAGAGAAAACUCUCAGCUAUGACAUAUCAAUAUCAACCAGUGGGCAGACUGAAAAGCAUGAACUUGUAAGCAGAAUCUCCUACAGAAUAUCAGAGAAAGUUGAAGGAAAAGGGGGAAGGAAGAAAAAGAGAUUUUAAAAAACAAGAUACAGAGUAUUUCAUGGUGCCUACCUGAGAAAAGAACUGGUGAUUGUGGUAUGAUGCUAAGGACUUUCCGCAAAUCUUCCAGUCCUAUUUUAGAGGUGUUGCACUGAUCGAUCACAAUUCUUCCUUUUUCCAGCUCGACAAUUCGGAACAAAGCAUUUAUCAUGCUAGAUUUUCCAGCACCGGUUCUUCCGACUAUUCCCAGUUUCUCACAGGGUGCUGUUGAAAAGGACAAUCCAUGCAAGACGGGAGGAAGUUCAGGUCUGUAACGAAGGACCACAUCUUCAAAUUUAAUUAAUCCUGAUGAAGGCCAGCCAGGAGGGGGGCGGCUGCUCUCUAAUAUAAGUGGAGCUUCAGAAGGCAAUUCUAUGUACACACCCACACGCUCUACAGCAUUUAGACUAUUCUCAGCAUGGCUUGCUUGUCUCAGUACAUCGCUCAGAAGGUUUGUUAUAUUCAAAGUGUAGCUGAGCAGGAGACCCAUCGUUGAAGCAAAGGCUGCUCUGUUUUCUGCAUUUCUAGUCUGCAUGACUGCAAAAGUGGUGGUCAACCAGAUCAUUAUGCAUCCUAGUGUGUCCAACCUUAUGUCAAGCCAAUUGUUGGAACUAACUUUGACAAGGGUGAAUCUGAUGCUAUUGUCCAUGGCCUCGGCAUUACUGGUGGCCAACCUAUCAUGUGCUUUAUAUGCACGAAUCGUCGACAAGCCGUUCAAUGCUUCUCCGAAUUGUGCAUAAACUGGAGAUCUGGCGAUUGAAUCCAAGCGUUUCACUUCACGAGAUACACUCUGUUAACAGCAACAAGGCAAACAAUUAGAAAGACAAUUAUAUCCAGACUUCCAAAGGGCUCGGCUAUGGGUAGAGGGCGAAACAUGUGUUAGAAAAAGAGGUAUAGUUCUAUUGAGCAAUUAAAAGGAUCUACUGUUAGCCUUGAUCAUUAAUGCCCCCUCUACUACAAAAAAAAUUGACAAAAAAGAUGGAUAAAUGGAACUUUCAUCAUUGAACUGUUGGUGCUUAGUACUUAUUCACUGUUUCAUACGAAGGAAAAAAAUAGUGUCGCUUUCUACUAUGAAAGGAUUAUCGAAAUUGCAUUUCCGAAUUUCCACUAUAAAACAAUUAAAUGGCGCUGCAUAGUGUCACAGGCAUGACAAAAAAUGUAAAUUUGACAUGAAAUUGUCAGUUAAUGUAGCAGAAGAACAUUGCCGACCCCACCAAAUGGGACAAGUUUUGACAAUUGUUGCUGUUAGUAGAAAAGAAUAUAUCAGUUUGACCUUUUCCCAAUAUAUCUCUUACUUUCACCCAAAAAAAAAAAAAUAUCACUUUGCAUGAAAGAACAUUAUGGCCCAAACAAAACUGCACUGACCUGGAAAUAUAGAUAGGCUGCAUAAAACAAGAUCAAGAGCAGUAAUAUGGCCCAGAGAGAGAUUGUGCUUACAAUUCCUAUAAGCACAAAAGUCGAAAGUAGCUGGCAGAGUCGGCCCAUAAACAAAUUUACACAUCGGGGAACAUUGCGAUCUAUGUCGCCUAGAUCCUUGGCAAACCUGUUGAUUAUUCUUCCCACUGGGUUGGUGUGAAAGAAAAGCAUCGGAGCCCUCAAUAUAGACCGAAGCAUAGAAUCAUGCAAUGUUUUUGCCGCAUAAAGACUUGAAAUAACCAACCAAUAAGCGUUAGUCAGCAUCACAGUCACCUGAUUCACAGAAAGACAGGAGUUGUCACAGACAUUGCUAGAAAGACGUACCCUUCAGUUGACAUAUGCCCACAUCCACCAAAGACUACAAUACAGAAAACUACAAAUAUAGCAAAGCUAACAAAUAGUCUGCCUCAUGUUAUGAUAAAUCAGUUUCUCUCUGAAAAUACAAUACUUUCUGCACUAUAUAAAAGAAGUUGUAAGCCAAACUCAAGCACCAAGAGGUAAUGUGAUAAUGUGGCUUUCCCACUUCAUCAAGAAUCAAAACGAAAUUAUAGAAGCACAAGCUACUGCAGAAAAGAUAGCAACAUUGGAGAAACUGAAUCGGAGAUCUAUCUAUGGAAUUGACAUACCUGACCAAAGGACAGGAGUGCAUAGAUCAAUAUGUAGAAUCCUGGUCUGUAGUUCUCCGAAGUGCUUUGAUGUGUCCAGAAACUCAACCACGUGCUACUUGAAAUUCGAAGAACUUCAGUUAAAGUAUAGCAAAUAAAGAGUACUGCCACUACCCACAGGCCUCCUAGUGCCCCUUUGUACCUAAAAAUAGAUUAAGUGAAAAAGGAAAUCAGAUCAUACACAUGUCACAGACAAGUAGCAUUAUUGCUAUGUAAUUCUAUGUUUCAGAUUUAGCAGACCUAACAGAAAUAGAGGGAAAAUAGCAUUUUACAAAAAAUAAAAAAAAUAAAACAUUGUUUGGGUUUUCAAUAAAAAGGAACUGUCAAAUUCAUGGACUUUAGGUGUUUAAAAGCAUUUAGUGAUACGCGUGAAACAUAGUUAUUACGUGGAGGAAACCUAAGCAUCGCAGAAAAAGCUACAUAAGAGACCUUUCGAGUGAUGUCACGUGAAGCUGAGAAAGAAAUGUUGUGCAAACUUACACUCAAUAUUACCUCCAUACCAUCUUAGGUGUUACAUGGACUUUCUUGAACUUUCUGUUCAAAUAUAUCACAUGUAUGUUUUAUGUCAUUUAAUUGGCUUAUUUGAACCCUUUUUCCAUCCUAGAGUUCAAUAAAGUCUUUAGGUCAUGAAUUUGAUAUCCCCAAAUAAGCCUUUUUCAUAAAUCAUCUGUCUACACAACCAAGUACUAGAAUGCAUUUAGUACCUCAUCAGGACUUUCCAACUCACAAUGCCUGUUUCCCGUUCCUCUUGCUUAAUAAGUACCAACUUCCCCCCUUUACCUUUCUUCCCACGGUCUUGAUUUUCAGGCAAUUCAUUAACAAUGGUGUCAGCUGCUGGUUUGGAUGUUUUCUCCUCUACAUUUUUCUCCUCCUCUUCCUCCUCAUCAUCUUCCAUUUGUUCCUCCAUUUUUCCUGCAUUCUCCUUAAGUGUCUGGAACAGUACCUUGCUUCUAGACAGCUCCUCAAAAGUCCCCUCCUCUUUGACCAUUCCUUCAUGAACCAAAAUGAUUCGAUCCACUUGAGGAAGAAAAUGUAGCUGAUUCGUGACAAGAAUCCGGGUCUUCCCUCGCAGCUCUUCCAUGAUACAGCUAUUGAACACCUGUAGUUGACUGUGGAUUAGUAUAAGCUAAUACAGUGCCCUCAUUUCUGAAAAUUCAGAAAAGAGAUCCUACUGAGUGGAAGAUCUAUAAAUAUGAAGCUAAAGCUCACUUCGGACAGGGGGCAGUCAAGCCAAAGGCUUGGAUACCCCAUGUUACUAAAAAGAAAAAAAAAAAAAAGAAGCUAGUCAAACAAAGACAAUAAUAGAAAUACACAAAUAUAAGUUAAGAAGUCCCAAAUCGGAAAAUGCUUCAGAGUAUUGAAAGCAGCAGAUGUUGCUUUGAUUAUCCAAAUAUUGAUUGCAGCAAGUUAUCUUAAGGGGGGGACUGUAGCAUCAAAAUUGUUAUUCUUGAUUAACCAAAGCAUUUGAGCAUGCCUUGCACAAAAAGCUUUCCAAGUAUACAGGUAACUGUUUAAGCCGUAUAACAUCAAUUGCGACACCUGUGGUAAUCUUAAGUGACAAAUUCUGUCUUAUGAAUUUCAUACCUGUCGACCAACAUGAGCAUCUAGAGCACUUAAAGGAUCAUCAAAUAUGUAAACGUCUGAAUUUGAGUAAACAGCCCUGGCCAUGGAAACCCUCUGCUUUUGGCCUCCACUUAUAUUCACCCCUCUUUCCCCAAUCUCUGUAAGAUCAUGACCCUGAGGAAUAAAUGAAAUAGAUAAUUAACAGAUCACAUCCCAUGUUAAAAGAGAUACUUGCAAAGCACUGGAUUCCACCUAACUGGAAGCAAAUCAAGGUCACGCUCCAAUUGAGUAACGCUGACUGCCUUCCAAUAUCUUUCUGCUUCAAAUUUAGACCCAAAUAAUAUGUUGUCUCGCACCUGAUAUCACACAUAGGACACAAGAUAAAUUGAUGAUAAGGCGCCCAACAUCGACAGAUAAAUAAAACCAGCAGUGUGCAACUUACAGUGUCAUUGAAAAUCCAUGACACUUGAGGAACAUAAGCAACGGUUCCCCGUAUAGUAACGCAUGCAUCAGAGACAGGAGAUAGUUCCCCAAGCAUUGCUGAUAUGAGAGAUGUCUUUCCUUGUCCAGUACCACCAACAAUAGCCACUAAGCUACCCACUGGUAUUUCCAGAUUGAUGUUCGACAGGGUUGGUUUUUCUGCCUGAAGUUAGCUGAAAAUUUAGCCUCCACUUGAAAUAAGAUGUUGCAACAAAAAGACUGGAAACCACCAUAAACGACCAUUUAGUUAUGCUGAAUCAUCAAAUAUCAGUCAGAAGACACAGCUACGUUAACUUGAACCUUCAAAAUGCUGGCAGAAGAGAUGCAUCCACCCAGAGAAAUUAUGUCAUCUGAGUUUUGAGUUCGGUUAUUUUCCUCAGAAUUCACCAAGAGUAAUUUACAAAUAGAAAUUAGGGCAAGCUUCCUUUGAAGAUGUCACCUUUAUAGAAGUUGUGAGAGCGCAGCUCACUUAACUAAAUGUUUUAAGUCGUUCGAUGAAGGUGUGGUUUAAAUUUUGAUUAUGGCAUCAACCAACUUCGGGGUUCAUAAUUUUAUUUUUCUUUUUUAUGUGCCCCUAUCCUUCUAACACAUCAGUGACAAUUACUGUUUAUAAAUGCAUUUUGAUGGUGUUACAACCCUUAAAACCUAGACAAUUCAGACAUACUAAAGUCAACAGUUUCUACCCAGUGAGAAAAGUUAGGUAAGUGAUUUUGCCAGACAAAAUGACUCGUAUGUUUAUUUGACCUUUGAGUCCCAUGAAAAGUGCCCAUCCUUGAUUGAAAUAGCUGGCUCUCCUGGCUCAAUCGCUGGAUUUGGAAUUAAUACUCUCUCUUCCGUUAAAAGUAGUUCCUCCAAACGUUGCAGGGAAACAUUCGCAGUAACAACCUGGACACAAAAGUAAGAUUGGAAACUAAAAGAUGACAAACAAAUGUUUGCAACCACUGUUAUAAUAAAAUUGCUGGAUCUAAGAUGGACAAUAUGCCUCAUCCUUGAGAAAGUAAAGGUAAAAAACCGAAAUAAGCCCAAAACAGAAAAUCUGACUUGCACUUUCUAAAUAUUGUCAAAGCCAUUUAAUGAAGAGAUAAUCUGUUACAGAUUUAGUUAUCACAGCAUGGUUUAGGCUUCAGUUUAAUUAUCACAUUGAUGUAACAGGUCCUGCUGAUUAAAUUUCUAUUGUUUAUUCUAGUUCAACAACAAGACAAUUAGUUCAGGUUAAACGAAAAUGUAGUAUAUGAGAAAUGCUCGUAAAACUUUUCUUACUCCGUAUUGUCCAAGUCAAAGAAUCAACCCCAUCAGUAUGGUGAUUUACUACAGCUCACCAUUCAUAUUCUAUGUUAUUUUUCUUGCAGUUUGAUAUCGUCGAUCAUUUUCUUCUUUGCUAAGUUAAUACUUAGACUGAACGAGGGUAUCACGCCAACACAUCCGAGGUACACAAUUAGGAGCAAAAACAAAAUGAUAGAUCCUCUAUCCACAUAAUAACCACACAUUAUGAUGUCGACAAAGGAAGAUCAGUACACUAUUCUAUUUGAGUGACAGAGAUAGAGAAAUGAGGGUAGGAUGAAGUGAAAGAACCUGAGACAUCAAGCUAGGGAGCAUGUCCAAAGGAAACCGUAGCACCGCGAAAAGAGAGAGUGAUGUAAACGCCCUCGCUGGUGUCAAAUUCCCACCAAGCAAAGUGAACGUCCCAAAUGAGACAACGGUUACAAUGACAGGGAUGCUGUUCAGUACAAAGCCGUUGAACUGCCACCAAAAUUUAUCUCUCAGACAAACAGAAAACCAUCAAGCAUUAUGGAAGAAGAAAAUGUAAUGUUCAUUAGUUCUCACACGCCUGACAGAAAGGGUCUAAAUUCAUUCAUCUACUUCUACAUAAGAAACAAAUGGAGACUAUUUCAUUGCACUGUAUAAGUCAGCUGAUUGAAAAACAGCAACUAUAAGUCUAUGACUACUCAGCUUACACGCAACGGUGAAUGGAGUUCAAGACUAGAUAAAUAAUUUUACACAGUAAACCAAUCACCUUUUUGACUUUACACUAACCUAUUCUCAUGACGUAUGAAAAGAAUCAGAGAAUUUGAAUUGCUUGCACACGAUCACCUUUGAAAGUAUUUCAACUGCUGUUAGACUGCUUGGUAAGUUUACCACAGGCAGAAAGCCAAGACAGUUUGUUCCAUAGAUAGAGUGUUUUCACAUUUCAUUUUUAGCACAANNNNNNNNNNNNNNNNNNNNNNNNNNNNNNNNNNNNNNNNNNNNNNNNNNNNNNNNNNNNNNNNNNNNNNNNNNNNNNNNNNNNNNNNNNNNNNNNNNNNUCCGCGGAUCAAUAAAGGCACAACUUUAUCUUAAUUUUGAAGUAAUCCAUACUGCAGAUACUAGUUGUGCCCUACGGAACCAUGAAAGCUCAUCACUUCGUACUUCUUGAACCUUACAUUGAAAGCUCUUUUCCCAAGCAUAACAUCUGCAAGAAUUUUUCUGAUGAAUUUCAGUAAUUAUAAAACAAACAGCCAUAGAAAAUGUACGCCAGAGCAUCUUGCUAAUUCAACAUACUUCACAGUGUCCAUUGCUGCCAAAAUUUCGUUCAUAACGCUGACUCUCUUGUCAGUUGACUGCAGCCCUUUCUUUGUCAGUUUUUGCAUUUUGCUGAUUAUGAUCGUCUAAUUAACCAUGAAAAAGAUUAUGUAAGACAAUUGAUUGACAGAUAGAGAAUCAAUCAUCAUGAUAUAAACUAUACAAUCUAUGAGUUGAGAGUGACGACGUGGUAUGGAAAACCUCAUAGCUAACCACAUGUUGCGUAAUAUAGAGAUUGUGAACCUGGUAAUUUGUUAAUGAGCAAUAAGCAGAGUAGACAGAGAUCACUAAAUUUAACUCAUGGAACUCUUUACUUGUUAGACCAUUUUUCUUUGGUCACAAUGGCAAUAAGAAAUAAUUGCCUUCAAAUCUUAAGCAACCAUAUUAGGCUUUCUAGAGCAUGCUUUGUAGUACAAAGCCCCACACCAACAUGAUAUUGCCAUAUUAGCAAUAUUACUGAUACGACCAUUGCUACAUAGAACUUUCAAAGGAUAAACAACAUCUACUUAGUACUUAGAUCAGAAUGCCCCUUCUAAAAAUUAAAGUUAAAAGAGAACUUGGACCUCCAAGUCAGCACGAUAUAUGAUUUAACUAAAAUUGGUAAAUAAUUAAAAUAAACAUGGACAAAUUGAUAUUUCUGAUGUUAUAGUGAGGAUAACUUUUGAGGGAAAGAGAGAGCACGAGAUUACUUGCAAGGGGAAUAUGAGGACAAGCAUGAGAGAGCCAAGCAGCGAAGCAAUGCCUAAUUGCUGGUACAGAAGAACCAUGGCAAUGACAAUAGAACAUGGAGCCGACCAUAAGUUGUGAAGUUGUUUGCAUGUUUGCUGAACAAUAUCAGCUGUCACGUCAGAUGUAAUUCAUAGAAUUUGCUUUUGCAGAGUGAGAAGAGCAGGGCAUUUGUACUGAGGAAGAUGUCACAAUUGACUUAACUAAAUCAUGUUGCAGCAAUAAGAGAACUAUGGUAGCAAUGUCAGAAAACAUGUAUGAAGUGAGAAAUCUCACCUCAAGUGCGUUAGCGUCUGUGGUCAUCAUGUUUGUUAUCUUUCCAGAUUGGAACUUCUUGCGACCCUCGUGAGUAAGUCUUAACGAUUUGCGGAAAAUGGCCGCCACCUACCAAUUUGGUUGAAUAAGCUAUGUUAAUUGCUCUGCUAUGACAAAUGAUGGAGAACGACCAAGAUUGAGCAUCUGAUACUGAGGAUUUGUACACAUCUGGCAGAGGUUUUACCAAAGUUGACCUCAGCCUAAAUCCCACCCGAGAUGAAUUUUGAUAGAACUGAGUUUGGCAAAGCACACCAAACGACUGAACAGAUUUCAAUCAGAAGUCAAUAACAUAUCCAAAAACAGUAAAUUUCACAUAUCUUAUUGAAGAAAGGAUGUAAACAUGGAAUAGGAACCACAAGCCAGAGGCACCGACAAUUAUAAGAAUGCAGACAAUACUAGCAUAUGCAAUAAACUUGAUUUAUCAUUUACAAAAGUGAUAAUGAUAUUUACUUCACACAUUGCACUAUAAAAAUUUAAUAGUGUGCAAACUUAGCAGGAAAGGACUCUGUCUCCUAACAUAAAUCACAAACUCGACACAAAACAAAGAAAGGAUCAUACCACACUGACAAGAAUCAGAAAGGCACAGAUGUAACCAAUCCAUGCAGGGUCCCCUCUUUGCAUUGACUGCAUGUUGCAAAGAAUGACGCAUUAGAAGGGGAAAAAAGAAAAUCCGUUCCUGGAAAGCUAACCUGCAUCUAACAUAAUCCACCAUGAUGUUGAUUGAAAUACAAAAGUAAAAGUUCAGUCUAUGAGCAGAAUAUUCUUUGCCAUGGAAAGGCGGGGCAAUUGAGACUUCUAUAAUUAAGACUUCUAGACAAUGUUAGAACAGAACAGAUGAUAUUCUUAUUGAACCAAUCAUAGUUCCUAUAGUCACUAAGCCAUUGCUGUUCAUUUGUUGCCUUGUGUAUAUUGGAGCAUCUUCCCUGUCACAACAAUACAAGCACGCUUGAAUAAUUACUAGAAAAUGACAUUUUGCCCUAAGAUAAGCAUGUUAACUCUGUUUCUGCCAGGGUCUGCCCUCCCUGUGAACCCUUCUAGUUUUCCAUCCAAAAAUGGUUUAUCAAACAAUAUUCUAAUCAUUUUAAGAGGAAGGUUCCAUGCAAACAAUUUUCCAUAAUGAAGCACGUGUUUCUAGAAAGAAGAUAAAAAUUCACAAUUCUUGGAUUUCAUCAAAAUCUUAAAAGCAGAGUCCAGCAUUGAUUUUAAAAUCGAUGCCUACAAAUUCAUCUAAGAGAUAGUGAGAGAGUUGGAACAACUUACUUGAAGGAGGUAGUUCAGCAAUGUGGGCCCCGCGAACCUAGAAAGAUCGCUCCCUAUCUGUAGUUUUUCCAUGUUAGAAAGAAUUAUUAAGCUUCCAAUGAGUAUUGCAAAUCAAAGUGAACAGUAUGCUCUUGAAGGAUCAUUAUUAUAGUGAUCGCUCAAGCUUAUUCACAAGACGAAGCCUAAGAGACUAUCCUUUAGAUACUGCUUUUCUUCUUUCAGACUCAUGAGUUUCUAAGGUUCUGCUCAACCAAAGUUAUUAUGUAACGGGCAUGCAUAGUAUAUGGACAUCAUUAUCCUACUAGGAAAGGAGUUACGACAUGCGAUUGAGCAUCCAUUCCCUACAGCUGAGGAAUCUGAACAUUUUGGAAUGAAUCUGGUGAUCAAUUAGACCACGAAGGGUAAUUAUGACACCUUAAAGAAGCCUCCCAACCAAAACCUGAAGCAAAGCAAACAAGUAAAUGAGAUGGGGAACAUUCAAACAAUCAGGAUGCUUAUGAAUAACGCUGCAGAUGUCAGUGCGCUGUCAAAUCGAAAUUGAAAUGAGCAAUGGGACAUUAGGUGCAAUUCAACUGAUACAUACCUUCCCCCAAGGCUGCUGUUCAAAGCUCUUAAAAGCCAGGGUUUGGGCCUGUGAGACUCUUUGGCCCAGCAUUUCUGGAAUCUGGAAAAUAAGAGCAAUUGAAAUGCUUUAGGAAUGUAUCUAAAUACACAAUAAAAUUUGGAGUACUACUACAGUAAAGUGACUGACACUAACCUUUUAAUCAGUGUCUCAGUCUGAUCCCAAGUGUCUAACUUCCAAACAUCCUUUUCGGAAAUUGGUCUUUUGUAGCCUUGCUGCAUAAGUGGAGUCACCCACCCAAAGUAUGUCCCUUUGAGACAGACAGAGAGAGAGAGAGAGAGAGAGGUAGUAUCAAACAACGCAGCAAUAACUAGCUAACAAUAGAAUGCUAAUCAAAUGCGAACAUUCCAUUUCACUAGACCCUCGAAAUGUCUCAUCUCACUUUUAUUUUCAGGCUUGCUUCAGGGAGGAAGAGAUUUGCACAAACAGGGAACCAACAAAUGCCACCAUCAGAAGCCAAGUGAAAAAACAAGCAAAUUGGACUCAUUAAGCAGACAGAAUCUAAAAAUGUCGAUUUAUAAGCUUAUUAUUAGUCUUUAUUGGAGAAUGACAAGCAGUUCUUGACAUGUCAAUUCAUAAAGACUAGCUGAACUGGUCUGGUCAGAUGAAAAACAAGCUGAAUUGGAAAAUAUGUUGACAUGCCUUUCAGGACAAACUUGCUCCUCUCCUGGAAGGGCCUCAUAUUCAACACUAUGAACAGGCUCGGUGGGGAUUGUAGUAUACCCUGGAUAAGGGUCCAGACUUGGUUCAUAGACAAAAAGAAGAAUCCCAAAUAUAACCUACAUAAAUAAAUAAAUGAAUAAAUAAAACCACAAAAGAGAAGAAGAUUUAGUCAGGAUUCUUCAGAUUGGAGUGACCAAUGACAUAAAGAAAUCUCACUAAUUGACAACCAUAAUUGAUGAAUCCCAGUAGGAGCUGUUUCUUCAAAAGGCUAGGUAAGCUAAAGACAGACAGGUCAGGAGUAACGGUUUAUUGAAAGAGACGUAACCUGGCAAAAGACCGUGCUGAUGUACAGAUACAGUGCAGACCUGCGGAAGUAAAAGAAGAUGGAUAUUGGAUCCUCCCUGGAACACACUCAAUAUGGAUCUUAAACUCUUCAACAAUGUGAUGCAUUGAAUCAGAAUAACCUGCUUCGAAAUUAUUUUUAAGUUCCCAAGGGAGAUUUAGGCAACUACACCUACAAGUGGCUAUUUAACAUGUCAUAUUGCAAAUAUUUCCUCUCUGAUGAUUUGCCAAUGACAUAAUUUUCAGUAAAGCAGUGUCGCCACGGAGGAGGAAAAAUGCACACUCUAAAGUAUUUUAACAAUAGAAAAGUUACUUCUGUCAAUUAUUUUCCAUCAAUCUCCAUAAUGAGAGAGAGAGAGAGAGAGAGAGCAUCUAAUAACAUCACUAUAUUUCUUUGCUUGCAUUCAAGUGUAUGAAAUGGGAGAAUAUGAGAUGUUCUCCACUUGCACUCAAGUGUAUGAAAUAGGAGAAUAUUAGAUGUACAUGUUCUGAAGUAUGAACAGUUAUGAAAUGUCUGCUGAACAAUAAAAAACUAACCUAUGAUGCUGAUAGUGGUCUCUCAUUGAGAGGAUGAGCUUGAACAUCACAACUUGCCCCACCAGAACAUAAAUGAGUCCAAACCGCACGUACCACUUAAACUCCCGGAUGUAAGCGUGCAUUUCUAGGCCAAUCAUAACUAGCAUGGAGCACCAAGCAAGAGACUCUAUGGUUAACGAAACCAUCUGCCAAACAAAAAAGUAGGUGUUAUUAAAAAGCAAAUUAGACUCUCAGUUUGCCAGCCAAUGUAAAAUAGCAUUACAGACUGGUGUUCUGAAGAUUUACAGAAUGACAGAGAUUGAAAACUAUCAUGACAUCAGUAGAAACAGACUCAUGGAAGUGAAAUGUUAACUAUAAACCGUGGCUGAUUUGGUUACUCAGAGGGCUAGACUUGGAACCCACGGAAGUUGAAAAACUCACGUGCAAAGAAAGGAUGUUUUCCAUUAGUUUCAUUGCCUUUAUCAAAAAACGAAGUUUAACAUUAGACAGAAUGUAGUGGCAAUGAGGAAUACUGUCGUACCACAAGGAUCCACUGGCGCCAAGCUUCAUCCAAGAGAAAGCAGUUGAAAAAGAAUAAGCAAAAGGAGAGUCAAUGCGCUAGUGAACAAUUUCAGUCUCAUGCUUUCUCACAUGUUAAGGUUAAGCAACUAGCUACCAAAUGCAAGUUUUUUGGACAACAUAUGGGACUCUGUUGAUGUGCAAAAGAACCAGCUAAUCAAGAUUGUUCGUCAACCAGAGAAAUAUUAGGUGAGCGUCGGAGAGUCGAAUAGGUCCUCGAUACCAUAAAAUUCCUACCUCAUAUGGAGGGAGGAUAGUCUGACCAUCCAGAUUGAAAACCGAGGAGCCCAUUACCAACCUCAGCAGGGGCUCUGCAGCGCAGUAAAAAGAAAGCAAUCCCAACAUAUAGUUGUAGCAUUUUGACCUCAGACGGUAUCUCUGGACUUUCAAAGUCCUCUUGAUCAACCAAAUUCGGUAAUAGCAGAGACCAAGAAGAAGCAAAUGGGAUAUGGAAAUGACCAAGGAAUCAACGGCGCAAGGUGUGUAUGCACCGAAAGCACUGUCCAUAGUCCCUGCCCAAUUCCCACUUGCCACCGGCCUGCAAUACCAAUCCAGCAACUCGAAACCCAUCUUCUAAGCAAGGUAUCCGCUCCUAGUUCAUCAAGGGUCCAUCACAACUUCUUGAAACUUUUUUCACUCAGAAGUCUCAUUAAGCAGAAAUUUCCCCUGAAUCAAUGCACAUGUUCAGAAACAUCCACCAUGAAUACUGCAGGAAAUUUGUAAUUGAAAGAAGUAUAGCAAGAAAACCCACUAUGGCAAAAUCACAAGAGGUCACUUGGUUUAUUUAUAAUUAAAAAUUGAAAUGCGAGCAAAGUUACAGUCAUUGUUAUUUGUUCCAAACUGAAAAACCAGUUAAGGGUGCGGAUGAAAAUGUUUUUGUUUUCGAAAACAAUUUCUUUUUACAAAAAAACUUUUUUUUAUUUCUAUUUUCAAGAACAGUUUUUGAGUAUUUUAAAAUUUUGAUAACUAUAAAAAAAUUAUAUUCCGGAAACAAAAAUACAUUUGGCAUGACUUAAAAUUUUUUAAUAAUGUUAUUAUAUUUUUCCUUUUUCUUUUAAUUUUUUUCUUUUCUUCUCCUUUUUCUUAGCGGGUCGCCAGCUUUGGCCAUGGCCGACCGGGGAGCGGCCAGACGAGGGCCGGCGAGGUCGCCAGCCUCGGGGGAGCCUCGGCCACGAGCCUCGCUGUGGUUGGGCGAGCCCCCCAAGCCUCGCCGUGGCCGGGCGAGGCUCGACCUCGCCCGGCCACCCAGGCGUCGCCUGGCCUCGUGGUGGCCACGGCGAGGCUCGGGGGGGCCUCACCCAGCCACGGUGAGGCUCCCUCGAGCCUCGCCGGUGGCCGGCGAGCUCGAAGCAAACUUCACCGGUGGCCGGCGAGAUCGGGCCGACCUCGCCGGGCCUUGUCUGGUCGGUCGACGGCCAUCGCGGGCUGUUGACCAGCUAGGGAAGAAGACAGGAAGAGAAAAGAAAGGAAGGAAAAAAGCACGUUUCUUGAGUAAUUUUGGAGAAAAGAAAANNNNNNNNNNNNNNNNNNNNNNNNNNNNNNNNNNNNNNNNNNNNNNNNNNNNNNNNNNNNNNNNNNNNNNNNNNNNNNNNNNNNNNNNNNNNNNNNNNNNNNNNNNNNNNNNNNNNNNNNNNNNNNNNNNNNNNNNNNNNNNNNNNNNNNNNNNNNNNNNNNNNNNNNNNNNNNNNNNNNNNNNNNNNNNNNNNNNNNNNNNNNNNNNNNNNNNNNNNNNNNNNNNNNNNNNNNNNNNNNNNNNNNNNNNNNNNNNNNNNNNNNNNNNNNNNNNNNNNNNNNNNNNNNNNNNNNNNNNNNNNNNNNNNNNNNNNNNNNNNNNNNNNNNNNNNNNNNNNNNNNNNNNNNNNNNNNNNNNNNNNNNNNNNNNNNNNNNNNNNNNNNNNNNNNNNNNNNNNNNNNNNNNNNNNNNNNNNNNNNNNNNNNNNNNNNNNNNNNNNNNNNNNNNNNNNNNNNNNNNNNNNNNNNNNNNNNNNNNNNNNNNNNNNNNNNNNNNNNNNNNNNNNNNNNNNNNNNNNNNNNNNNNNNNNNNNNNNNNNNNNNNNNNNNNNNNNNNNNNNNNNNNNNNNNNNNNNNNNNNNNNNNNNNNNNNNNNNNNNNNNNNNNNNNNNNNNNNNNNNNNNNNNNNNNNNNNNNNNNNNNNNNNNNNNNNNNNNNNNNNNNNNNNNNNNNNNNNNNNNNNNNNNNNNNNNNNNNNNNNNNNNNNNNNNNNNNNNNNNNNNNNNNNNNNNNNNNNNNNNNNNNNNNNNNNNNNNNNNNNNNNNNNNNNNNNNNNNNNNNNNNNNNNNNNNNNNNNNNNNNNNNNNNNNNNNNNNNNNNNNNNNNNNNNNNNNNNNNNNNNNNNNNNNNNNNNNNNNNNNNNNNNNNNNNNNNNNNNNNNNNNNNNNNNNNNNNNNNNNNNNNNNNNNNNNNNNNNNNNNNNNNNNNNNNNNNNNNNNNNNNNNNNNNNNNNNNNNNNNNNNNNNNNNNNNNNNNNNNNNNNNNNNNNNNNNNNNNNNNNNNNNNNNNNNNNNNNNNNNNNNNNNNNNNNNNNNNNNNNNNNNNNNNNNNNNNNNNNNNNNNNNNNNNNNNNNNNNNNNNNNNNNNNNNNNNNNNNNNNNNNNNNNNNNNNNNNNNNNNNNNNNNNNNNNNNNNNNNNNNNNNNNNNNNNNNNNNNNNNNNNNNNNNNNNNNNNNNNNNNNNNNNNNNNNNNNNNNNNNNNNNNNNNNNNNNNNNNNNNNNNNNNNNNNNNNNNNNNNNNNNNNNNNNNNNNNNNNNNNNNNNNNNNNNNNNNNNNNNNNNNNNNNNNNNNNNNNNNNNNNNNNNNNNNNNNNNNNNNNNNNNNNNNNNNNNNNNNNNNNNNNNNNNNNNNNNNNNNNNNNNNNNNNNNNNNNNNNNNNNNNNNNNNNNNNNNNNNNNNNNNNNNNNNNNNNNNNNNNNNNNNNNNNNNNNNNNNNNNNNNNNNNNNNNNNNNNNNNNNNNNNNNNNNNNNNNNNNNNNNNNNNNNNNNNNNNNNNNNNNNNNNNNNNCUUUCGUACCUGAAGCGUUUCCGGUCCUCUUUCCAGGCAGAAAGUCUACUCAUAGACCUGAGUAUCCCAUCCUCUUCAACAAGAAGUGCUGCAAUACCCCAUCAGGUAUUGUUUGUCCGGAAGUGCUUUUGUAGUCCUACUCUCUAAAGGUGUGAUUUUAGGAAUUUCACCCCCAAUGGCCGAGCAAUGCCCCCUCCUCCCCCCAGGAAGGGGUGAGCUCGGCCUCGCCUCCCGGUCGCCGGCCAAGGCCUUGGCCGGCGACCGGCCAAAAGAAGAAAAAAAAAAUGAAAAAGAAAAAAAGGAAAAACAAGAAAAAAAUAGAAAAAAUAAAAGAAAUAAAAAAAUUAUCCAAAUUUACCAAACAUGUUUCUGUUUAUUUUUUAUUUCCGGAACAAGUUUACUAAACGCGUUGUUUUGUUCAAAAAUUGUUCCCCGGAACAGAAACAUUUUUUUCUAUUUCUAUUCCCUGGAACAAUUUUUAAACAGAAACACAACCAAACGCGCCCUUAGGCCCCGUUUGUUUGUGUUUCUUUUUUGUGUUUUUAAACACUUUUUCUGUUUUUUUGUUCCUGGGAACAAAAAAGAAACAGAAACAAGAAACACAAAUUUUGUGUUUCUUGUUUCUGAAACACUUUUGAGAAACACUUAUUUUGUUUUUUCUUUUUUCUCUUAUUUUCUUGUUCUUUUUUCUUUUGGCCGGUCGCCGGCCUCGGCCAUGGCCGGCGACCGGCCGACGAGGGCCGGCGGCCUCGCCCAACCACGGCGAGGCUCGCUGUAGCUGGGCGAGGAUCGGCCUCGCCAUGGCUGGGCGAGCUCGAGCUCGCCCAAAUCCGGCGAGGCCGACCUCGCCCAACGGCUGGCGAGCCUCGGCCUCGCCGAGCCACCACCAGGCGUGGCGGUGGCCCGGCGAGGCUGCGCCUCGCCCGCCGCUGGGCAAGCUCGGCCAAAAGAAGAAAAAAAAAUGAAAAAGAAAAAAAGAAAAAAAGGAAAAAUAAGAAAAAAAAUAGAAAAAAUAAAAGAAAUAAAAAAAUUAUCCAAAUUUACCAAACAUGUUUCUGUUUAUUUUUUAUUCCCGGAACAAGUUUACCAAACGCGUUGUUUUGUUCAAAAAUUGUUCCCCGGAACAGAAACACUUUUUUCUAUUUCUGUUCCCUGGAACAAUUUUUAAACAGAAACGCAAACAAACGCACCCUUAGGCACCGAAAUUUCCUCGACUUGACUUCAGCUUUGAUCAAGUCCACCAAAACAGUGCUUUGAGCAUGACCCAAGAGAAAUUAGAACUCCCACUCAUUACACAGUGGCAAGCAAUCGCCCUAGACAAAAUUAGAAACAAGAAAGAACACAAGACUUCACAAACCCACAGGAAGGAAGAGAGAGAGAGAGAACCUGCAACGCUCUAGAGCUGCUGCUUCUCAUUGAAAUGGCUUGUGAGUUUAAAAUGUAGGGAGUCCUUAUAGUGGGACAGCAAGAGUCAGGGAGUAAAAUAUAGAACGUUGAGGCAGAUGAAUCGUCACCAAGAAGAAGAAAAAGGGAAGGAGAAAACAAAGGAAAAAUGAAUGCGAGAAUGGUCAAAAGGGCCAUUUGAAGUUUGUGACAGCUUCUAGGAAAUGAGGAGAAGAGGACCGAGAUGGUCAAGAACAUUUGGCGCCAUGCAUGCGUCGCUGCUUACCUAGGCUGCUCUCUCACCUGAGCUGUAACGAGAGGAAGGGCUUUGCACGAUUGAUUAGUUUAUAGUUUUCUUCUUCCUCGUGUUUUUUGGCUUCUUCCGUUGACUUCCGUACAAUCAUACUAAUUAACAAAGACUGAUGAUUGAGAACGCAUUAUCAUCAUUCGGACAAUUUUGUGUCUUGAUUCGCUGUCCUAUUCUCUAGAGAAAGACAAUUAAUUUGCCUGCAUUCUAAGACUUUUUUCUAUGAAAUGCUUGAUCUUAGGAUUAUUGAGAAGUAACCUCUUCAUGAUUAACUUAUUGUGUGGUAUCUUGUGUUAUCAUAAGAGGUUUGAUGAUUCUAAAUUCAUUAAUUGAUUGCAAUUUUUUAAUCUAGAUGUUGUGGGCGGUUCUCCUAACAUAAGGGUUAUUUUUCCUAUCUUUUGUUGGACUAGAGAUUUACUAAUUGCUUGAUAUACUCGAAUAGGCUCUACCAAAGUCCAACUCUAAGGCUGUGAUCAACUUCUCAUCUAUGGUAUUGCCGCAACCUUUCCAAGGUGGAAGUUUGACAGAUUGCCAAGCAAGCAUGCACGAUCCCUCUCGUGAGAUGGUACUUAUACUUACCGUGGACUCUUCCAAACCUACCGAUUGCAACAUGGUUUCUACUUUAAUUAUAUGAGUCGCUACUAAUUGAUUAUGAGCCAAUUCUAAGUAAAAUUAGACAUAGGAGCUCGUUUUAUUUCAAAAAAUCAAAGAUUCGUGGGUUGGGACCUAAUUUUGCUAGAUAUAUCUAUCACCUAAUUCGAUACAAUAUCUUUUUAUAAAAAAGUUUUACAUGUGAGCUUUCUCUUUAUUUUCUAAUCCUUUUUUUUCUAAUAAUGAAGCAAAUAAUAGUUGCUCAAACAAUAAGCAAAUAAUAACAAAGCCAUUAGAGGACAUGAAAAUUUUACUUAAGCUAUACCAGGCAACUUAUUGCUAUACCUCGGGAUAGGAUCCCGUGAGCAGUUAGUGAAUGAGAUUGUUUGAAUCUUUCAGCUUCCAAGAACAAAAAUAGAGAUUGACAUAGAAAUUUUAUUGACAAAAAUAAAGUUUAAUCGACCAUUAAAUCCGCAAUGGUGAUUAUUGGAAAAAGGACAAAACAAAUGCCAAACAUUCAAAAAAGGAUGUGAAGGUACCAUGAUUUCAGAAUCAUGAUCCAAAAAAACUUCACUAUGUAAGAAAACUUUUACCUAUAAUCACUUUUUCCAAAAGAUCAGACAAUUUUGCAUGUGAACUUUUCCAACUAUUUCUUUUUCCCAAAAGCUUAAUAACUCUUCCGAUUACCUUUCUUCUAUUAUGAAAUAUAAGGUUGUGUUUGUCUCAUGGAAAAUAAAUUACUUGGAAUAUAAUUUUCUAAAAUAUUUUACAUCUUGAUAGUUUAAUGGAUGAUGAAAAUACUUUUCAUUUACUAAUUUUUAUAAAUGAUAGAAGCGACUGUCUUUAGCAAAAUGUUAACAAUUUAUAUUUCGUGAAACAAACGGACUGUUGCUUGUUUGUUCCAUACAACAAAUCGUAUUCUACACCACUCUCCUCCGAAUCAAGCUAUCAAUUCAAGCAAACGUAUCCUUACACACAAAACAACCAUGAGCAGGGGUUUCAAAGAAGAUUGAGAGGGACAUGAUUUGUAACCACGAGCAAAGUCAGGAUCUUCAAGCACGAAUUUGUAAAGCGACGGCGUAGCCCCCAGGUAAUUUUCAGAGCAUCAGGAAACGGAGUUUGAAUCAUCUCGGCUAACUGAUUAGCAUGCACGGAAAAGUUUUCCUUUCCAAACGUAAAGACAAAUUUGUCGUGGCUAGGGAAAUGAAGAUUCGAGUAAAACAGAGCCACCCGCAUGAGGAUAGACUCCCACUCUGCAUAGUGCCGAGAAUGCAGAGAAAGUCGAGAUAAUCGAUAUUGGUGUGGAAUGAUCUGACGUGAUGGGAGAGAGGUGAAAGUAUUUUUAUCAAUUAGGAGAGAACAAGGGAGACCAGUCGAAUGACAUGACUUGGGAGAAACCAAUCGUAGGCUCGAAUAUAAGAUAGACUCGGUCGUCUUCCUCGUCUUUCUUACCUUCAGUUCGAACUUCCUUUUGUUUAGUAGGUUGCUCCUCUUGUAUGGCUGUUUGCUUUAGUUGCUUGACGUUCGCAUCGCAUUACCAGCCCCAACAUGCAGAUCCUUGUGCACAGUUGCCGCGGUCUCACUAGCUGGUAGAUUUGUCGCACAACGAAAAGAUAUGAGUGUCGAACGGUUAUUUCAACAAAAUGGAAUAGUGUCACCUCAUAUGUAGUCACGUCCCUGGUGGAACUUAAUAAAGCAAUCUCUACAAUAUCUAGCGAUUUAUAGCGGAUGAAUUCGGCUAUCAGCUAACAACGCCAGAGCAAGAAGCAUCAUCAUUGAUACGGCAGAUACUCGAGCCCUUUUGGAAUCAUCAUGUAUAUUGGGCCUCGCUCAGCAUUCUAUUACGCUAAAGUAGCAAACUUUAAUAUGCAUGAUAUUGCCGGUGCGUCUUUGACGGAAAAUGAGUAAUUUGAAAUAUAUAUUUUUUAAAUAAAUAAAUGGAAAAAGUUUUAAUCGCCUACAACUUUAGUUAGGUAUAGAUAGGGGAAAAGUAUUAAAAAAAAAUCUUAAACUUAUGGAAUUGAUAUUAAUUCAAUUAUAAAUAUUUCAAUUGGAUCAAUUUUGUCCUAAAAACUUUUCACAUUGAUACAAACUUAGUCCUUCCGACAGUCGGCAUUGACGUGGACACUGGCCGGUUGAUGAACGUUGACAUGGAGGCUCGCUGGCCACUACAAGAGAAGAAGGCCAAGAGGAAGAAGAGGAAAAGGAAAACAAAGAAAAAAUUAAUAAAAAAUUUGAAAAAAAUAAAAGUUUAUUUAAAAAUUGCUAUGUUAGCAUUCGCCAACCGAUUGGUGUUCGCAUCAGCACCGAUGGCCAAAAUUAUCUAGAAGAACUAAAUCGGUAUUAAUGUAAAAAUAUUUAGGAUUAAUUAGUUCAAUUGAAAAAUUUAAGACUGAAUUGGCACAAAUGCCAUAAAUUUAGGACUUUUUUGGCACUUUUUCCACAUAGAUUAUUAUCUAUGAUAAAAGUAUUUUCCGUUGACUAAUUUUUAUAAAUAUUAUAAACAAUAAUUUUUCGAAAAAUGUUCUACAAAUCACUCAUUUUUUGCUUCCGUAAUGUCCCAUCGCACCAUGCUCCCAACACCUUAGACGGAUACAAAGUGUCUUGAAAUACAUACAUACAUACAUAUACAUAUAUAUAUAUAUAUAUAUAUAUAUAUAUAUAUUGCAAUAAUAAGAACUGCAACGCCUGGCAUUCUACGUGUAUCUACAAUGAAAGGAACGAAGUCGUCGGCGGUGGUCCUGAACCGAAACUUACCAGAUGGGUCAUGAGGGCUGCGAUCAAUAUUGUCCUCGGGAGGCUUUUGCGCAUGGAGAAUGCAAAAUUUCAGCGGCUGCGAGAGAGUCGACUUACCCUUCUGCAAGUCGCCGCCCACGGUCACGUAGGGUCGAUCGGCAACCAGCCACUGCGGCGAUUGACGACCGCUGGCCAACAUGAGAGCAGAAUCAUAAGAGGCACUUUUGUAGGUUUUAGCUAUAGCAGCGAGUGAGAGAAAAGAUAGCCUCCUUAAAAUACGAAAUUCCUAGACAAAAAAAAAAAAAAAAUCACAGAAGUAACAAUAUUUAUAAAAAAGAAUCUUAAUCUAAAUAAAAGUAAUCUUGAAAAUAUUAUUAGAAUUAAAAUUUCAGAUCAAGAUUCUAACAACAAGAGCUAAUCUUGAAAUCUUGGUAUCAAGCUCUCUUCUCUUUGAUAAUGAUGAUAGCUUAUGACUAGCCUGUGGUUGCCGCUGAUUAUCUCUUUCUAUAUCACAAUAUGAAAGGGCCGCCACUGUGAUCAAUCACAACCAUUUUAACAAGCAAUUACUACCAUCACUAAUAUCAAUCACGGCCGAUGAUCUCCCACUAGCUAAAUGUGGUUUUUUUUUUUUUUUUUUGGUUGAAACGAAGGCAAAAAACCAUGAAAGAAAGCAACGGGGACCCACCGACGAUUCUAAAACGGUUGCACGCCGGUUCUACCUCGUCGGCUCUACACUGGCGGCCCACCAGAUGCGCCUAACCCUCUGCAGUUUCCCUCACUCUCCUCCUUUGUUCCCUAGUGUCAACCGUCAUCUCCGGCGGCUGAUUGAUCUGUUAAAACCGAUUUGAUUCGACCCAUUUCAAAGAACCGAUGAUCAAGUCGGUUUUCAAGUCUACCGGCUCAAUCGUCGGUCUGGUGGCUAACAUCAACGAACCAGACUCGCCAAUCUAUCCUUGAGUCUGUUCCCGACCUUGUUGUGGUAAAAAACCGGUAGAUCAACCACCGGAAUACCUCCGGUGGUCCGAUCCCUUUGGGAAUCCCCAAAACCGACCCAGGCAUGUCCAUUUCUGUUCCAGUCCAAGCCAGCGGCCACUGGAGCUCUUUCGCACCCUCAACUGUCGACAAUCGCCUAUUCUGUAGGGGUGAUUAGUUCCCGGUUCGGUCUGGUUCCAAGGUGGAACCGGGAACCAGACCGGGAGAAUCGGUUCCCGAUUUUGGGAACCAUGGACCGGACCGUUGGUCUUAGGACCGAGAACCGGACCGGACCAUCGGUUCCGGUCCAGUCCGGUCUGGUCCAAAAGAAUUGGCACUUUAUUUUUUCACUAAAGAAUGACCAUUCACUAAAGAAUAAUCAUGCUCCGGACCGAUCAAUCAAAUUCGGUUUCCGAGCAAUCUAAUAAAACUACUCACACAUGUUUUUGAGAGUGCUAGUAUGAACAAAAUAAAGGAGUUAGGGAAGAGAAUAAGAACACAAGAUUUAUAGUGGUUCGGCUUAAUCCAAGCCUACGUCCACUCUCCCACGCUAACAGCCUUUUUGGCUGGAUUCCACUAUGCAAUCAACAAAAGAUUACAACUUCGAGUGCAAACACUUAGUAGUAGAUCACACUAUCUCACUCAGUCACUCUCUUGGUAUUUCUCUCAUGAUCACAAACGUUUAAGCUCUCAAGAGACAAGUAUAUGAUCGAAAGUCGCUCAGACUUUGGAAUUAUAAAUUCUACGCUCCGUCUCUUACUUGCUCAUCGGUCCUUCAUCUCCUUAAAUACUCCUCCACUUCCAAACUAGCCGUUGGACAGUAUCCCGGAGAAUCGUCUUCCAAUAUACCCAUUGGACAGCUCUGUAUCUAGAAGAUUUGGUAGCCGUUGAGUGACAAAGGUAGAAUCCCAAAUUGAUUCCGAUCGCCCAUACAAACGGAAUCUUGGUUUCCAUAAGUAAAGCUUCUUCGUAUAGAAAGAUCUUGUCUUCAAGAUCCAAUUGUCAAUCAAAUAGAUUGAGUCAAUCAAAUCAAUCUUGAUGUGGAAUUCAAACCAGAUCACUAGCCGUUAUAUGAUUGGGCUUGAGUUACGUUCUGUCGAAUCUGGAUGUAAAGUCUGAGAGCAAUAGACUUUACAAUCUGAGUCUGUAGACUUUACAAUCUGGGUCUGAACAUAUCUGCUUCUAAACAGAUUUAGCUUUAAGGUCUGAACACCGGUUCAGCUUCAGCAUAAAGUCUGUCUUCUGGUUCAUCGUUCAGUCUGGAAUUAGUCAGAGUGAGCAGACUUCUGAUGUAGAACAGACUUUGAUACUAAAGUCUGGCAGUCUUCAGACUUUGAGUCUUGAGUCUGGCAGUCUUCAGACUUUGACACAGAAGUCUGGAAAUUUUCAGAAUAUACUUUGGACAUAUGUUACGUUCAGUCUUCUGGCCGUCUUCUGACUUUGAUAAUAUCAUCUACAUGUUCUAACAUCUGCAUGGUCUAUUACUCAACCAUCAAACAUGUUAGUAGCAUUUGAUUUAUUUUGUCAUCUUCAAAACAUCAUAAGGGAUUUCCCUAACAAUCUCCCCAUUUUUGAUGAUGACAAAACAAUCUCUAAAUAUGCAGAUUUGUAAACACGCUUUUAAAGAUAUUAAUUUAAAUCAAAGGAUAUCAAAAGAUAGCAAAUAGAUUGAGCAUAACAAUAUAUAGAAAAAUAAUCACUGCUCAAUAUUAUGCCAUAGAUAAUAUCAACCAAUCAACACAUAUGCAUAUUCAUAUCUUCUCCCCCUUUUUGUCAUAAUCAAAAAGUGAUAAUAAUGGAAAAAGUAUCACGUAGAGAAUGAUAACAAAUAUUUUGCAUGAAUCACAAUUUCCAAAAAUCAGCUUUUAUAAAGUAAAUCGAAUAUUAAAGAUAUGCAAUAUAGCUCACUUCGAUCAUAUAUAUCAGCAAAUAUCCAAUAAAAAUCACGGAUGCAUCAUGAAAUGCACGUACCUUUUUUGUCAUAAUAAAAUCAAUAAAAGAUUUGUUAAUGACAAAAGGUAAUAAAAUAUGCACUAACCGGAUUUUUUAGAACAAAUUCUGACACAUUUACCUUUCCUUCCAUCCAUAAUAAGAUCACGAUCAAUCCAAAAAGAUUUUUCCAUAAUUGAUCAAGGCUCCCCCUCAAUUUGCUGCCUUUUUGAGAUGAUCACGAUUCUUUCCUUUUUCUUGGAUUUGUUUUCUCCCCCUGUGAUCAUGACAAUAUUUGCGAAUAGAAAUAAUUGUUGCUUGUGCACGUUGAACGGAAUAUUUUUCCAGUAUUUCCUUUGUAGCAACAACAUCUGCAACGAUCACUUGCAUUUUGAAAUUCGAGGCAUAAAAUUAUUUUCUUCAAUCAAGCUCAUCUCGAAUUCAACCUGCAUCAACUUAACAAACUUUUUGCACAAAUAAGCUGUAAUAAUAUCCACGUAAUUACCCUUUUCUUCAAAUAGAUAAAUUGAAUAGCAUAUAUAAAAUUAUCAAAUAUUAAAAUUCAGAACUAUUCAACCUUACAUACAACACAUAAGGGAUUUCCUCAAUAAGCAAAAAUUUUGCACAAGGAAUGGAAUCUUUGAACCUCCAGAAGAUAGUAUAAAAUCUUCACAAAUUUCUGAUCAAGCUUUCCAAAAUUCAUAUGGAAGAUUCUAUUGUGACCUGCAAAUUCUUAUAUAACAGAUAAUAAUCUUUGCAAGAAUGUCACGUAAUAUCUUCCUUUGAUUUGUGGAUCAAACUUGCUAGAUAUAAUAUAUCUUCUAAGAAUAUAGCAAGAAUAUCCAUGAAUAUGCAGUAAUAUCUUUCGAGAUCAAAGAGAUUUUCUUGAGCAUAAAUUUCAGAUAUGCAUUUUGCAAAAGGAAAUUAGAUAUUUCUGUCACGUGCCAAAAUUGCAAUACAUUAUAUUUAUGACAGAAGAUAUUCGCAAUAUAAUAAACAAUCAUCCAAAAUCAUGAUAAAUGCACGUAGAGAUUUGCAAGGUAGGAAAAAAAAUUCUCUUACCCAUGGUAUAUGUUAGAAAUAUACCAUUGAUUUAAAAAAUAUCACUACCAAUUGUCGCAGGAGAUAUUUUCUUAUUGCACCAAAAUUUGCGUAGAUUCGCAAUCAUCCUUCCCUUAAAGAAUUUCCUGCAAUCAACUCAUUUCCCUUUUUGGUAUCCAUCAAUUUGGAUCCUUCCUUGACGUUAGAGUAAAAUAUGAAAUCUCCAUAAUCAAAUAUUCUUUCUUAAUUCAUCAUAACAAAGUAUUCAAAGAAAGAAUAUUAUGCACAAUAAUAUCUUGCAUCAUAAAUUAAUAUCACGUAAAACAGAUUUUCACUUUGCAAAAUAUGAAUAAAUCUGAGAGUAUAAAAUUAAACCAAAUAAAUUAUUUUGUCUUUAAGCAUGAUAUCAAAAAUGAUCACACGUAUCAAAUUAAAUUUCGAAUCACAAAAACAAAUCAUGCGAUUCUUUCUUCAAUAAAACAAAAUAUGAUCAUUAUAAAAUCUGAAUCAAUCAAUGAUAUAUCGAAUUUCAAGUAUAAUGAGAAUUAUGUGCCCAAAAACAUUCCUUACCAACUUCUUCUUUUCUUUUAUUUCCUCGAUUUCCUCAUCGGAUUCUGAGUAUGUGUCUAAGUCAGACUCUGAUUCUGAGUCUAUGUCUGAGUCAGACUCAGAUUCUGAAUGUGCCAUCAAGCAUAAAUUUCCUUGCUCAUCAUCUUCUUUCAUUGCUCUUUUCUGGCCAUUCUGCUUGUAUUGUCUUAUUUCACUAAACUUCCUUCCUUUUCUACUCAGCUUUUUGAAUUUCUCGAUCAUAAAAGCAAGUUCUUCAUCGUCCAUGUCAUUUUCUGAGUCUGUUUCAUCAAAAACAGCAUUAGAUAUUAAAGCGAUGGACUUCUUACCUUCGGGAUCUUCAUCGUUAAGUUGCUCCACUUCAUAGGGUUGAAGAGUGCCGAUCAAUUCAUCAACGGUGAGUGGCAUAAUCCUUUGAGUCUCCCGGAUUGAGGUCUUGACAUGGUUCCAAUCUUUUGAGAGAUCUCGCAAGAGUUUGUUGACCUUCAUUGGGGAAGAAAUUGGAUGACCUUGAUAUGCCAAACCGUUUACAAUUUCUGUAAAAUGAUUAAACAUAUCUCCAAUCAACUCUCCUUGCUUCAUCUUAAAGGAUUCAUAUUUGCCGAGUAAGAAGUCUACUUUUGUCUCUUUUACACGAUCGGUCCCUUCAUAUGUAACAUGAAGUCUAUCCCAAACUUCUUUUGCUGUUUCACAUGAAGAGAUUAUGUUAUAUUCAGCAAGAGACAAAGCGCAAUAUAAAGAAUAAAUAGCUUUUGCAUCAAGCGCUUCUCUUUUGGACAACUCCGUCCGAGACAUAAGAGCGAGGGGUUUGGUUUCUUUGUCUUUGUCAUUCUUAUUUGAUGUAGACGCAGCAAUGGGGUUGAUUCCUCUUUCCACAACAUCCCAUUGUAAGAGAUCUCUGGAUCUUAGAAAUGCUUUCAUUUUGUUCUUCCAUACGUCGUAUUCCUUUCCAUCAAAAUAUGGUGGCCUUGUGUUGCUUUGCCCUUCCAUAAGUCCUGGUGCCAACAUACUAGCCAUAAAAAAUCUUUAGCUCAAAAGUAAAAACACUUUUAUAAACCGAGCACUUGGCUCUGAUACCAAUUGAGAGUGCUAGUAUGAACAAAAUAAAUGAGUUAGGGAAGAGAAUAAGAACACAAGAUUUAUAGUGGUUCGGCUUAAUCCAAGCCUACGUCCACUCUCCCACGCUAACAGCCUUCUUGGCUGAAUUCCACUAUGCAAUCAACAAGAGAUUACAACUUCGAGUGCAAACACUUAGUAGUAGAUCACACUAUCUCACUAAGUCACUCUCUUGGUAUUUCUCUCACGAUCACAAACGUUUAAGCUCUCAAGAGACAAGUAUAUGAUCAAAAGUCGCUCAGACUUUGGAAUUAUAAAUUCUACACUUCGUCUCUUACUUGCUCAUCGGUCUUUCAUCUCCUUAAAUACUCCUCCACUUCCAAACUAGCCGUUGGACAGUAUCCCGGAGAAUCGUCUUCCAAUAUACCCAUUGGACAGCUCUGUAUCUAGAAGAUUUGGUAGCCGUUGAGUGACAAAGGUAGAAUCCCAAAUUGAUUCCGAUCGCCCAUACAAACGGAAUCUUGGUUUCCAUAAGUAAAGCUUCUUCGUAUAGAAAGAUCUUGUCUUCAAGAUCCAAUUGUCAAUCAAAUAGAUUGAGUCAAUCAAAUCAAUCUUGAUGUGGAAUCCAAACCAGAUCACUAGCCGUUAUAUGAUUGGGCUUGAGUUACGUUCUGUCGAAUCUGGAUGUAAAGUCUGAGAGCAAUAGACUUUACAAUCUGAGUCUGUAGACUAUACAAUCUGGGUCUGAACAUAUCUGCUUCUGAACAGAUUUAGCUUUAAGAUCUGAACACCGAUUCAGCUUCAGCAUAAAGUCUGUCUUCUGGUUCAUCGUUCAGUCUGGAAUUAGUCAGAGUGAGCAGACUUCUGAUGUAGAACAGACUUUGACACUAAAGUCUGACAGUCUUCAGACUUUGAGUCUUGAGUCUGGCAGUCUUCAGACUUUGACACAGAAGUCUAGAAAUCUUCAGAAUAUACUUUGGACAUAUAUUACGUUCAGUCUUCUGGCCGUCUUCUAACUUUGAUAAUAUCCUCUACAUGUUCUAACAUUUGCAUGGUCUAUUACUCAACCAUCAAACAUGUUAGUAGCCUUUGAUUUAUUUUGUCAUCUUCAAAACAUCAUAAGGGAUUUCCCUAACAGUUUCCACGUGCAAAAUAUUCAAACUUCACUUAUGUGAAUAUCAAUCAUAGUUUAUGUGUUUCAUGCUUAAUUUUAAGCAUAAAACCCAUGAACAACGUGAUUAAAGGUUGUGUUUGGCUUAGGUUUUAUAGACAAUCUCUCUUCUAUAUAGUCGAUAUGAGACUUUUUAAGGCUUGAAGCGCCUUGUCGUUUGCAAGUGAGGGGAGCAAGAGAGAGAGUGUGAGCAUGAGGAGAGUUUUUUUCUAUAAAUAAAGAGUAACAACAAGAGUUUUGGUGGUCUCUUGGCCACAUAAGAGGUUGUUACCUAAAUUGUAAUUCUGAUUGCAAUAAGUUUCAUAUAUAAUAUUAAUAUAUUAUAUGUGUUUAUAUAUUAUAUGAAUAUAAAUUAUAAAUAAAUAAAAAUUGAUCCAGUCCGGUCGGUCCGAUCGGUCCGGUUCCCACCUUGGAACCGGGAACCGGACCAACCGGCCGCCGGUUCCAAGAUUAGGAACCGGGAACUGGACCACUGACCGUGGGAACCGCCCAAAACCGGCCGGUCCAGUCCGGUUCCGGUUCCGGUGGUUUCCAUUGCACACCCCUACUAUUCUGAAAGCCUCAGACCUAGCUGUGGUCCAAGAUUGACCUCAGAACUAGCUUUAGUUUCUAGAAGAUGCAGAUCAAGGAUCCGUUGUAGCAGAAAAACUUGCAUUAGCAUCUAUAGGAAGGCAAAACAAGUUUGAUCAGGCAAGAAGAUUGGGAAUUGUUAGUUAGGUGAGCUCUGGACGCGAUUCGUCUCAUGUUGGUGCAGAACAUUGCCUUCAACAUCACUAAUGAGAAGACAACAACGGAAUUGAUAAUGGCUUUGUCAAACAUGUACAAGAAGCCAUUUGCAUCAAUUAAGGUAUAUUUGAUACAUCGUCUUUUCAAUUUGAAGACAGACAAAGGUACUUCUAAGACAAUUCACAUCGACGAAUUCAAUGUGAUCAUGUCUCAAUUGAGUACAAUGGAUAUCAAAUUUGCUAACGAGGUAAAAAUUUUAGUUUUAUAUUCUCUACUUAAAAGUUAGAGUGCAAUUGUGACUACAGUGAGCAGUUCAUUUGAUAAAAGAAGUGAAGUUUCAAAAAAUCCAAGAUUUGAUUCUUAGUGAGUACUUUCAUAAAAGAGAGUUGGAUAAAUCUUUGGGCACUGCCUUGACUAUUGAAGGCUAAGGGAGAAGCAAUCAACAAGGUUGGAACUAGUACUGUGGUAGAUUGAAGUCCAAAGAGAGAAGCAAAUCAAGACUUUGUAGUGAAAUAAUUUGCUGGAAUUGUGUAGAGAAAGGCCAUGUGAGACAAGAUUGUAGAACCCUAAAUUAGAAAAUUUAGAUCGGAAUCUAAAUCAUGAUGAGGUCAAAUCUUUGAAUGCAACCCUUGAAAAGAUACUUGACAAUGAUGCCUUAAUUUUGAGCAUAUUUUUGCUUGAAUUUUGAACUCGAUGCCUUUUUAUGCACAAUUUUGUUGUUGGAUAGUUUGGAAAGGUUUAACUUACAAAUAAUAAAGCUUUAGAUAUUGUGGGGAAGGAUGAUGUUCACAAAAAAAUUGCCAGUGGAUAUCAAUGAAAGUUGCAAAAUGUUAGAUUUCUUCCUGUCCUUAAGAGAAUCCAAUCCCUACAAAUCAAGUAGACCACCUAAUGCGUAACUUAUUUUGGAGACUACUAUCAAAAAAAUGGAAAAAUGUGCCAUGGUAGCAUGGGGAACAAAGUUAGGAACAUUGUACAUGAUUGAAAGCAGUAGAACAACAUUUAAUGAGUUGGAAACUGAUUCCAAAUUGUGACUCCACAAGCUUGGAUACAUGAGCAAAAAGGGAAUGAAGCUGUUAGAAUGAAAGGGAAAACUCCUUAAUUUGAAGUCCAUAAAAAUUGGUCUAUAUGAGAUUUGCAUUCUAGGGAAGCAAAAAUGUGUCAGUUUUCCACAGAUUGGAAAAGAACAAGGAAAAAAAUAAUUGAGUUGGUACACAUAAAUGUGUAGGGGCGCCCCUAUGCAUUUCCUAAAGGUUUGUGUUACUGCAUCGCAUUCACCGAUGACUCCAUUAGAAAAGUAUGAGUUUAUUUUUUGAAUAAUUUUGAUGUAUGUAGUACUUUUAAAUAAUGUAAAGUAAAAGUGGGAGAAUGAGUCUAGCUUAAAGAUAAAAUAUCUAAGGUUAAACGAUGGUGAUUGUUAUAAUAGGUAGGAGUUCAAGCAGUUUUGUCUAGAGAAUUGAAUUAGGAUGAAAAGAAAAGUUCUCAGCUCCAUCAAAACGAAAUUGUUAAGAGGAUAAAUCGUACUUUAAAUGACCAUGCAAGGGCGGAUACAGUUAACAGAGCAACAUAUCUAAUCAACAAAUGACCUUCAAUUUCCCUUGAUUUUAAGUUACCAUAACAAGAAUGGAUUGGAAAGAAGGUAAAUAUCCUGCACUUAAAGUUUUUUUUUGUUGUAUUUUGUACAUCCACAUAGAUUCUAAAACUAGGGACAAGCUUGAUGCAAAUGCUAAGAAAAGUUUUCUCUUUGGAUUUGAUUCUGAUUAUUUUGGCUAUCGACUUUGGAUGAUCAAAAUAGAAAAAUAAUAAGAACAAAUGAUGCUACAUUUGAUGAAAGUAUGUUAUACAAGGAUAAGUCUAUUACAGAAUUUAGUGAGGAAACAAAUGGAGGAGACUAUAUAUUGAAUUGGAAGGGGCUUUUAAGAUUGUUUUGGUUAGGAAUCCCAAAACUACUGAUGUAGAUUAUAAUAGAUAAAUAAAAAACAAUAAUCACAUACACCUGAAUCCACUUUAAGACUUUAAGAAGGUCAAGUAGAGCAUUUAAAUCUAUAUAGAGGUAUUCUCUAGCAUUACACUAUUUGCUUAGUGUUGGUGAACCAAAAUAUUUUGCAAAAGCAAUGCCAGUUAUACAUUCUAUUAAGUGGAAUUGGCAAUUCGAAAUGAGUUGGAUACACUAGAUAAGAAUAGAAUUUAGGUGUUAACUCACUUACCAGAUAGGAAGAAGACAUUGUAUAAUAAAUGGAAGUACUGGGUCUAAGAAGAACCUGAUGAUAGCAAGAGGCAAACUUUCUCUCAAGUUGUGAAAUUGACUAUUAUCAAGCUAGUGUUAAGUAUUGUUGCUCCUAAAAACUUACAUCUAGAGCAGUAAAAUGCAAAGAUGACAUUUUUCCAGGAUGACUUGGAGGAGGACAUAAACAUGAUAUAACCAAAAGGUUUUCAAGUUCCCAAUGAAGAAAAUUAUGUCUGCAAAUUAAAGAAAAAUCUACAUGAUUUGAAACAGACUCCUAUAUAUUGGUAUAUAUAUAUAUAUAUAUAUAUAUAUAUAUAUAUAUAUAUAUAUAUUUAAAACAUGUGGGCAAUAAUAAGUUUACUAGAUGUAAAUUGGAUCACUACUGUUACUUUAAAAGAAUCAAUGACUACUAUAUUAUUUUGCUAUUGUAUGUGAAUGAUAUGCUCAUUGCAAGAUCCAACGUAAGGCAAAUCAAGAUAUUAAAGCGUUAAUUUUCAAAGGAGUUUGAAAUCAAGGACUUAGGAGCAACAAAUCAAAUUCUUGGUUAAGGAUCACGCAAGAAAGAUAUGCAGAAUUUCUAAAGUUGUCUCAAGAAAAGAAUUGAGAAUGUCAAGCUAAUUCGGAGUUCUGAAUGCAAAGCCUAGAAGUAAUUUUUUAGAGAGUCUCUUCAAGCUCUUGAAAAAGUAGUCAUCAAAGACAGUUGAGGACAAGGAUUAUAUGGCUUAGGUGCCUUAUGGUCAGUUGUUGGCAAGUUGAUAUAUGCUGUAUACCAAACUAGCUAUAGCUCACAUAGUGGUUUAUGGCAAGGUGGCUAUUAAAAUAACUGAAAGGCACUUCAGGUUUAUGGUAAGUUGUUGGCAAAUUGAUAUCUGCUAUGGUGUUUACCAAACUAGCUAUAGCUCACAUACUGGUAAUCAUGGGCAAAUAUAUAGCUAAUUUAGGAAUAAAAAUUGGGAAAUUGUAAAGUGGCUAUUAAGAUAAUUGAGAGCCAUUUUGGGUUUAUGGUAAGUUGUUGGCAAAUCGAUACAUGCGAUGGUGUAUACCAAACUAGCUAUAGUUCACACAGUGGUAGUCGUGAGCAAAUAUAUGGCUAAUCUAAGAAAAAAGCAUUGGUAAACUACAAAUGGCUAUUAAGAUGCCUAAGAGACACUUCUGAUAUGUCUCUAUGUCUUAUGAAAAACGGUAUGACUUUACAAGUCUUUGUCAAUGCAAAUCUUGACUUGGACAAUAGGAAGGACACCUCACAUUAUGCUUUUGACUAAAGUGAUUCUGCAAUCAGUUGAAUAUCUAGACUUCAUAAUUGUGUCUCUCUAUGUCACUAAAGCUAAAUGUCCCUUUUAGCCACAAAAGCUAAGUACGUCAUUAUAUACUGAGCUGACAAUGAGAUGAUUUGGUUGAAGAAUUCUUUGAACGAUAUAGGAAAGAAGCAGGAUAAUAGUGUUCAAUGACACUUGUCUUGCAAAGAAUCUAGUAUUUUAUUUAAGGACAAAGCAUAUUGAGUAGAAGUAUCUUCAUAUUCGUCAGCUGGAAAAUCUACAACAUAAGUUAACCAAGGUUGUCAUCACUAAAAGGACCGAGGCUGUGCAUUGCCUUUGUUGGCUCACGGUUAGUGAUGAGGAGGUCAUAGCACUAGGACAAUUAUGGUUACAAAGUCAAGUGAAGACUAUAGAAAACUAUUGCUAUUUUUAAGAUUAGCAUCCAAGUGGGUGAUUGAUAAAGCACAAUGAUAUGAAAGUAGAGAGCUAAUGAUAUGCAUGUAACUUUCAUGUUAAAGCAGAGAAAAAAAUAUUAUGUUGAUGGUAUAUACGUAAAAUAUAACUUGUAUGCAUAGGGCAAUAAUUCUGUAGUCGUAACACCGAAACUUGUAACGUUGAAAAUUGAUAAUAAAUACUAAUGAUGAAGAAACUGCGUAGUGCAAUGUUUUUUCCCUUCCUAAUUUUAGAAGGCUUUCUAUGUAAACAUUCAUGUCUUCUUUAUUUUUUUUCACUUCGACCAUUUUUAUUCCUAACAAUUGUCACCGUUGUUGUCAUCGUCAUCGAUAUUCGAAAUCUGAGGGCCAUUGUGGAAUUGAGGCUGACCGCUGCAGCAAAAUUGGCAGUGGCAGCCAAGUAGGCAGAGGCCGACCGUCAUCUCUUGCUGUCUGAAUGAUUCAUUUCCAUCCGUAACCUGUUCCCUUUCCUUUGGAGGACCAAGCCGCUCAGAUACUGCGCAUUGGCAGAACCGGUGCUUUGAACCAUCUUAGAGAAGGCGCUUGCUUCAUUUGACAGCAGAUUCUCUGGAGUGUCGUGUUCUGCUACCUGAAGUGAAUGUUGAAGGCAUCCUAAUCGAUACUUGCAUAAGAAAAUAGAAACGCAACAAUAUUGAAAUGCAUGAAUGGUCAAUUGGGAUCACGGUCCUUCUAAGUUGACGAGAAGUUUCAAGUGCCCAAAGAGUCAUACAUAUUCAUGAUGACAAACCAUGACUAUACAUUUCAUGCUAGUAUUGAUGCAUGCAUGAUGAACUGUGAUGGUAGAACAUACUUGGCCGGCAUCGAGCACAAGAACUCGGUCAGAGUCAAUGAUGGUGUUAAGUCUGUGGGCAAUGAUGAGCAUGGUGCAGCAGGUAAAUUCUUCCCGGAUGGUUUUCUGGACGAGAGCAUCAGUUCUAACAUCAACGGCUGCAGUUGCUUCAUCGAGAACAAGAAUCUUUGAUCUUCUUAGUAAUGCUCGAGCAAGACACAGCAGUUGCCUCUGUCCGACGCUGAAGUUCUCUCCACCCUCAGAAACCUUGACAGAGCACAACCAACAUCAAUUAAAUCAAUGGAUAUUUUUAACUUCACCUUUCUUAACUAGCAAGAAAAAACGACUAAUGUAUUCUGAAGCCAAUAGAAUAAUGCAGAGCAUUACAUCGGCCUAUUGCAUAUAGAAAGACCAAACAUCUAUAAAAAUCGACCUAUCAACUUCAGUUUAACACUACAGAUACUAUAACGUCUAACAUAUUUGGACAAGUUAUGGAACGGAUCCUUCAGCAUUUCUUGCAGGUAAAACAAUUCCAACAUUUGUAGCACUCUGUCCAGUUUACCUCCAAGUCCAGCCUACAUUGACAGCUCUUUUUCUCUGUCUUGCAGUCUUGUUAUUUAGUUCAGGGGGAGGAAAUUAUAUAUUAAAUGGAAAUUCUGGAGGUAACAGUGGUGUAAGCAGAGCAUUUGAGCAAAAAUAUUUGUAAUCAUACCUAGAAGAUUAUUGCUAAUUAUUUCUCACUAAUCUUGUCAACAUCUUUAACUUCAAAAAUUUUUAAAAACCAUGUCAGACUUCUGUCCUGAAUAAUCAUUCACGUCGCUUGCCUUGUAUUAAUUCGACUCAAUUUCUCUCCUCUCUGCCAAAGGGCAUUAACCUAGUCAAUGGUUAUUGUCACCAUCUCAACACUUGCAUGCUUUAGACAGCCUCUAACAAUCCUUGUCCUUCACAGUACAAUUUGCAUAACUUAGAUAUUUUCUCUUUAACAUUGCAGAUAACUACCGAUGAUUUCAUCAACAUUAACCUGAAUUUGAUCGAAAUUGCACUGAUCCCUUGGAUUAAGAUUUUGCAUCUAGUAAAUUUUCGCAAGCUUACCUCAGCAUCCAGGCCAUAAAAGUUCCUCCUGAUAACAUCCUUCAAAUGAGCUCUCUCCAAAGCCUCCCAGAGGUCAGCAUCAUCGUGUUCAUUGAAAGGGUCGAGAUUGAAUCUCACAGCUCCUACACAAAAUUGAAAACAAAGAAACUAUUGGAGACGGUACUUAUUCUCCACAAAUGAAGGAAUUUAAAGUUUCUUUCUGGUAUAUCAUUGAAGCUUCUCAGUCCACAGUAACGGAGUUCAAUGGAUGCAGUUAUGGUACGUACUGUAGCCUUUUUCACAUGAAAUAUCAGACAACUCAUGAAAAGAAAGUUGGUCAAUUUUUUAUGCAGAAUGUUCCUUGGAAUCAAACCAAAGUAAAAGGACAGUGGAUUAAGACAUUUUAACAGAUUAGUACUGGUCAGCAGACAGUUCACGUCAAGAGAAAGUGGCAGUCCAGGGGUAGUUGGGCACAGCAUUGGAUUGCAAGAAUAGUAAGUGGCUCUUGUGAAUGAUACUUGGUCCGAGAGUACAGAGUUCUGGACCUCCAGUAUCAGACAUAAUUAGUGCAAGAGAAAACUCUCUGCAAGAGAAAACUCUCAGCUAUGAAUCUGUCAGAGGACAUAGCAAUAUCAACCACUGGGCAGACUGAAAAGCAUGAACUUGUAAGCAGAAUCUCCUACAGAAUAUCAGAGAAGUUGAAGGAAAAGGGGGAAGAAAACAAGAUACAGAGCAUUUCAUGGUGCCUACCUGAGAAAAGAACUGGUGAUUGUGGUAUGAUGCUAAGGACUUUCCGCAAAUCUUCCAGUCCUAUUUUAGAGGUGUUGCACCGAUCAAUCAAGAUUCUUCCUUUUUCCAGCUCAACAAUUCGGAACAAAGCAUUUAUCAUGCUAGAUUUUCCAGCACCGGUUCUUCCGACUAUUCCCAGUUUCUCACAGGGUGCUGUUGAAAAGGACAAUCCAUGCAAGACGGGAGGAAGUUCAGGUCUGUAACGAACGACCACAUCUUCAAAUUUAAUUAAUCCUGAUGAAGGCCAGCCAGGAGGGGGCCGGUUGCUCUCUAUUAUAACCGGAGCUUCGGAAGGCAAUUCUAUGUACACACUCACACGCUCCACAGCAUUUAGACUAUUCUCAGCAUUGCUUGCUUGUCUCAGUACACCACUCAAAAGGUUUGUUAUAUUCAAAGUGUAGCUGAGCAGGAGACCCAUUGUUGAAGCAAAGGCUGCUCUGUUUUCUGCAUUUCUAGUCUGCAUGACUGCAAAUGUUGCUGUCAACCAGAUCAUUAUGCCUCCUAGUGUCCCCAACCUUAUAUUGAGCCAAAUGUUGGAACUGAUAUUGACAAGGGUGAAUCUGAUGUUAUUGUCCAUGGCCUUGGCAUUACUGGUGGCCAACCUAUCAUGUGCUUUAUAUGCACGAAUCGUUGAUAAGCCAUUCAAUGCUUCUCCGAAUUGUGCAUAAACUGGGGAUCUGGUGAUUGAAUCCAAGCGUUUCACUUCACGAGAUAUAGUCUGUUAACAGCAGCAAGGCAAACAAUUAGAAAGACAAUUAUAUCCAGACUUCCAAAGGGCUCGGCUAUGGGUAGAGGGCGAAACAUGUGUUAGAAAAAGAGGAAUAGUUCUAUUGAGCAAUUAAAAGGAUCUACUGUUAACCUUGAUCAUUAAUGCCCCCCCUAACACAAAAAAUUGACAAAAAAGAUGGAUAAAUGAAACUUUCAUUAUUGAACCGUUGGUGCUUAGUACUUAUUCACUGUUUCAUACGAAGGAAAAAAAAAAGUGUUGCUUUCUACUAUGAAAGGAUUAUGGAAAUUGCGUUUCCGAAUUUCCACUAUAAAACAAUUAAAUGGCGGUGCAUAGUGUCACAGGCAUAACAAAAAAUGUAAAUACAACAUGAAAUUGUCAGUUAAUGUGGCAAAAGAACAUUGCCAACCCCACCAAGUGGGACGAGUUUUGGCAAUUGUUGCUGUUAGUGGCAGAGAAAAUAUCACUUUGCAUGAAAGAGAAUUAUGGCCCUAACAAAACUGCACUGACCUGGUAAUAUAGAUAGGCUGCAUAAAACAAGAUCAAGAGCGGUGAUAUGGCCCAAAGAGAGAUUGUGCUUAUAAUUCCUAUGAGCACAAAAGUCGAAAGUAGCUGGCAGAGUUGGCCCAUAAACACAUUUACAAAUCUGGGAACAUUGCGAUCUAUGUCCCCUAGAUCCUUGGCAAACCUGUUGAUUAUUCUUCCCACUGGGUUGGUGUGAAAGAAAAGCAUUGGAGCCCUUAAUAUAGACCGAAGCAUAGAAUCAUGCAAUGUUUUUGCUGCAGAAAGACUCGAAAUAAUCAACCAAUAAGCGUUAGUCAGCGUCACAGUCACCUGAUUCACAGAAACACGGGAGUUGUCAGAGACAUUGCUAGAAAGACCUACCCUUCAGUUGACAUAUGCCCACAUCCACCAAAGACUCUAUAAUACAGAAAACUAGAAAAAUAGCAAAGCUAACAAAUAGUCUGCUUCAUGUUAUGAUAAAUCAGUUUCUCUCUGAAGAUACAAUACUUUCUGCACUAAAAAGAAGAAGUUGUAAGCCAAACUCAAGCACCAAGAGGCUAUGAAGCACCAACACUUUCCAAGAGCCUUCGUGUCGUGUUAGACACUUUGACACGUGUCCGACACUCUCCGACACUCUCGGACACUCUUCGACACUCGGUUUACAUGUGUCGGAAUAUUCGACACCUAGUCAACUUUCUCGACACUCUUUGACGCUCAAGUCAGAAUUCUGACAUACGAGUUUCUAACACGUAAUUUCGAUAAGGUCAAUUUUAAAAAUUCAAUAAAUGAGAGGCCAAAAUAUGUAUAUGUGUGUAUGUGUGUGAAAAAAUAAAACACAAUAAUAAAAAUAAUCAAUGGAGAAAGAAGAAAAACCUAGUUUUCUCUUCUUUUCUAAUUCCCAUUUUCUGUGAUACAUAAUUCACCUCUUAAGUUUUUUUUCUCCUCUUCCAACAUGUCCAACAUGCAAGUCCAGAAUAUGGAUCGCUUGUUUUGUCUGCAAGUUUUAUGAAUUAUUAAAAUAGGGUUGAAUUUGUUAAAUCGAAACAUUGAAUGAUGUUAAUAAAUGGCGGAUUAAUGUUUUUAGUGCAUAUUCAUUCUAGGCUUGUUUAAUUAUUUAUUUAUUUAUGAAUUUGAUUGAAACUAAUUUGAUUGAAAUAAUCAUAAAAAUGAUAAUUUAUUAUGUAUAUAUAAAAAUAUAUGUUUAAUAUAUAAAGUGUCCCAACUUGUCGGAAUUCUCUAUUUUUUAGAAAUGACGUGUCGGCGUGUCGUGGCGUGUCGUAUCGUGUGUCGGUGUCAAUGCUACUUAGCCAAGAGGUAAUGUGAUAAUGUGGCUUCCCCACUUUAUCAAGAAUCAAAACGAAAUUAUAGAAGCACAAGCUACUGCAGAAAAGAUAGCAACAUUGGAGAAACUGAAUCGGAGAUCUAUCUACUGACUUGACAUACCUGACCAAAGGACAGGAGUGCGUAGAUCAAUGUGUAGAAUCCUGGUCUGUAGUUCUCCGAUGUGCUUUGAUGUGUCCAGAAACUCAACCAUGUGCUACUUGAAAUUCGAAGAACUUCAGUUAAAGUAUAGCAAAUAAAGAGUACUGCCACCACCCACAGGCCUCCCAGUGCCCCUUUGUACCUAAAAAUAGAUUAAGUGAAAAAGGAAAUCAGAUCAUACGCAUGUCACAGACAAGUAGCAUUAUUGCUAUGUAAUUCUAUGUUCCAGAUUUAUCAGUCCUGACAGAAAUAGAGGGAAAAUAGCAUUUUACAAAACAAAAACAGUGUUUGGGUUUUCAGUAAAAAGGAACUGUCAAAUUCGUGGACUUUAGGUGUUUAUAAGCAUUUAGUGAUAUGCAUGAAACAUAGUUAUCAUGUGGAGGAAACCUAAGCAUUGCAGAAAAAGCUACUUAGAGACCUUUCAAGUUGAUGUCAUGUGAAGCGGAGAAAGAAAUGUCGCGCAAACUUACACUAAAUGUUACCUCCAUAUCGUCUUAGGUAUUACAUGGACUUUCUUGAAUUUUCUGUUCAAUAUAUCACAUGUAUGUUUUAUGUCACUUAAUUGGCUUAUUUGAACCCUUGUUCCAUUCUAGAGUUCAAUAAAGUCUUUAGGUCAUGAAUUUCUUAUCCACAUAUAAGCCUUCUUCAUAAAUUAUCUGUCUACACAACAAAUAUUAGAAGAUGAAGCUUCAUAUCAUGCAUUUUAAUACCUCAUCAGGACUUUCCAACUCACAAUGCCUGUUUCCCGUUCCUCUUGCUUAAUAAGUACCAACUUCCCUCCUUCACCUUUCUUCCCAUGGUCUUGAUUUUUAGGCAAUUCAUUAACAAUGGUGUCAGCUGCUGGUUUGGAUGUUUUCUCCUCCACAUUUUUCUUCUCCCCCUCCUCAUCAUCUUCUAUUUGUUCCUCCAUUUUUCCUGCAUUCUCCAUAAGUGUCUGGAACAGUACCUUGCUUCUAGACAGCUCCUCAAAAGUCCCCUCCUCUUUGACCAUUCCUUCAUGAACCAAAAUGAUUCGAUCCACUUGAGGAAGAAAAUGUAGCUGAUUCGUGACAAGAAUCCGGGUCUUCCCUCGCAGCUCUUCCUUGAUACAGCUAUUGAACACCUGUAGUUGACUGCGGAUUAGUAUAAGCUAAUACAGUGCCCUCAUUUCUGAAAAUUCAGAAAAGAGAUCCUACUGAGUGGAAGAUCUAUAAAUAUGAAGCUAAAGCUCACUUCGGACAGGGGGCAGUCAAGCCAAAAGGCUCAGAUACCCCAUUUUACUAAAAAAAAUUAAACAAAUAAAUAAAUAAAAGAAGCUGGUCAAACAAAGACAAUAAUAGAAAUACACAAAUAUAAGUUAAGAAGUCCCAAAUUGGAAAAUGCUUUGAAGUAUUGAAAGUAGCAGAUGUUGCUUUGAUUAUCCAAAUAUUGAUUGUAGCAAGUUAUCUUAAGGGCAGGACUAGCAUCAAAAAAAUCGUUAUCCUUGAUUAACCGAAGCAUUUGAGCAUGCCUUGCACAAAAAGCUUUCCGAGUAUACAGGUAAUUGUUUAAGCUUAUAACAUCAAUUGCUACACCUGUGGUAAUCUGAAGUGACGAAUUUUGUCUUAUGAAUUUCAUACCUGUCGACCAACAUGAGCAUCUAGAGCACUUAAAGGAUCAUCAAAUAUGUAAACAUCUGAAUUUGAGUAAACAGCCCUGGCCAUGGAAACCCUCUGCUUUUGGCCUCCACUUAUAUUCACCCCUCUUUCCCCAAUCUCUGUAAGAUCGUGACCCUGAGGAAUAAAUGAAAUAGAUAAUUAACAGAUCACAUGCCAUGUUAAAAGAGAUACUUGCAAGGCAUUGGAUUCCACUUAACUGGAAGCAAAUCAAGAUCAUGCUCCAAUUGAGUAACGCUGACUGCCUUCCAAUAUCUUUGUGCUUCAAAUUCAGACCCAAAUAAUAUGUUGUCUCGCACCUGAUAUCACACAUAGGACACAAGAUAAAUUGAUGAUAAGGCGCCCAACAUCGACAAAUAAAUAAAAUCAGCAGUGUGCAACUUACAGUGGCAUUGAAAAUCCACGACACUUGAGGAACAUAAGCAAUGGUUCCCCGUAUAGUAACGCAUGCAUCAGAGACAGGAGAUAGUUCCCCAAGCAUUGCUGAUAUGAGAGAUGUCUUUCCUUGUCCAGUACCACCAACAAUGGCCACUAAGCUACCCACUUGUAUUUCCAGAUUGAUGCUCGACAGGGUGGGUUUUUCUGCCUGAAGUUAGCUGAAAAUUUAGCUUCCACUUGAAAUAAGACGUUGCAACAAAAAGACAGGAAACCACCAUCGACAACCAUUUAGUUAUGCUUAAUCAUCAAAUAUCAGUUGGAAGACACUGCUACAUUAACUUGAACCUUCAAAAUGCUGGCAGAAGAGAUGCAUUCACCCAGAGAAAUUAUGUCCUCUGAAUUCUGAGUUCAGUUUUCCUCAGAAUGCACCAAGAGUAAAUUACAAAUAAAAAUUAGGACAAGUUUCCUUUGAAGAUGCUCACCUUUAUAGAAGUUGUGAGAGCGCAGCUCACUUAGCUAAAUGUUUAAGUUGUUCAAUGAAGGCAUGGUUUAAAUUUUGAUUAUGGCAUCAACCAACUUCAGGGUUUUUUUUUUUUUUUUUAUAUGCCCCUAUCUUUCAAACACAUCAGUGACAAUUACUGUUUAUAAAUGCAUUUUUUUUUUUUUUUUUUGGUAAGAGUAAGCAAUAUAUUAAGAGGGGGCAUUUUGAUGGUGUUACAACCCUUAAAACCUAGACAAUUCAGACAUACUAAAGUCAACAGUUUAUACACAUUGAGAAAAGUUAGGCAAGUGAUAUUGCCAGACAAAAUGACUCAUAUGUUUAUUUGACCUUUGAGUCCCAUGAAAAGUGCCCAUCCUUGAUUGAAAUAGCUGGCUCUCCUGGCUCAAUCGCUGGAUUUGGAACUAAUACUCUCUCUUCUGUUAAAAAUAGUUCCUCCAAACGUUGCAGGGAAACAUUCGCAGUAACAACCUGGACACAAAAAUUAGAUGGGAAUCUAAAAGAUGACAAACAAAUGUUUGCAACCACUGUUAUAAUAAAAUUGCUGGAUCUAAGAUGGACAAUAUGCCUCAUUCUUGAGAAAGUAAAGGUAAAAACCAAAAUAAGCCCAAAACAGAAAAUCUGACUCCCACUUUCUAAAUAUCGUAAAAGCCAUUUAAUGAAGAGAGAAUCUGUUACAGAUUUUGUCAUCACAACAUGGUUUAGCCUUCAGUUCAAUUAUCACAUUGGUGUAACAGGUCCUACUAAUUAAAUUUCUAUUGUUUUUUCUAUUUCAACAACAAGACAAUUAGUUCAGGUUAAACGAAAAUGUAGUAUAUGAGAAAUGCUCGUAAAAAUUUUCGUACUCCGUAUUGUCCAAGUCAAAGAAUCAACCCUUCAGUAUGAUGAGUUACUACAGUUCACCUUUGAUAUUCUAUGUUAUUUUUCUUGCAGUUUGAUAUUGUUGAUCAUUGUCUUCUUCACUAAGUUGGUACUUAAACUGAAUGAGGGUAUCACGCCAACACAUCUGAGGCAUACAAUUAGGUGCAAAAACAAAAUGAUAGAUCCUCUGUCCACAUAGUAACCACACAUGUUGAUGUUGAUGAAGGAAGAUCAGUACACUAUUCUAUUUGAGUGACAGAGAUAGAGAAAUGAGGGUAGGAUGAAGUGAAAGAACCUGAGACAUCAAGCUCGGGAGCAUGUCCAAAGGAAACCGUAAAACCGCAAAAAGAGAGAGUGAUGUGAAGGCCCUCGCUGGUGUCAAAUCCCCACCAAGCAAAGUGAAUGUCCCAAAUGAGACAACGGUUACGAUGACAGGGAUGCUGUUCAGUACAAAGCUGUUGAACUGACACCAACAUUGAACUCUCAGACAAACAGAAAACCAUCUAGCAUUAUGGAAGAAGAAAAUGUCAUGUUCAUUAGUUCUCACACACCUGACAAAAAGGGUCUAAACCCAUUCAUCUACUUCUACAUGAGAAACAAAUGGAGACUAUUUCAUUGCACUGUCAUAAGUCUGCUGAUUGAAAAACAGCAACUAUAAGUCUAUGACUACUCAGCUUACACGCAACGGUGAAUGGAGUUCAAGACUAGAUAAAUAAUUUUACACGGUAAACCAAUCACCUUUUUUAUUUUACACUAACCUAUUCUCAUGAUAAUGAAAAGAAUCAGAGAAUUUGAAUUGCUUGCACACGAGCACCUUGGAAAGUAUUUCAACUGCCGUUAGACUGCUUGGUAAGUUUACCGCAGGCAGAAAGCCAAGACAGUUUGUUCCAUAGAUAGAGUGUGUUCACUUCUCUUUUUUAGCACAAGCAAUAUCCUGCCACUGAGGUUCUCUAAUUUGUAUCUCUCUCUCUCUCUCUGCACACGCAUGCAUGUGGGUAUGUGGAUGUGCAUGUACGCAUGCGUACAUACAUAUUUUAUACCGAUAUAGACAUGUAUACUGGGGAAACCAAGAAUUUUCCAAAUGUCAAUACAGAUGAUACUUCCACGAUCAAUAAAGGCACAAUAUUAUCUUAAUUUUGAAGUAAUCCAUACUGCAGAUAAUAGUUGCGCCCUACGGAACCAUGAAAGCUCAUCACUUCGUACUUCUUGAACUUUACAUUGAAAGCUCUUUUCCCAAGCGUAACAUCUGCAAGAAUUUUUGUGAUGAAUUUGAGUAAUUAUAAAACAAACACAGCUAUAGAAGAUGUAGGCCAGGGCAUCUUGCUAAUUCAACAUACUUCACAGUGUCCAUUGCCGCCAAAAUUUCAUUCAUAAGGCUGACUCUCUUGUCAGUCCACUGCAGCCCUUCCUUGGUCAGUUUUUGCAUUUUGCUGAUUAUGAUCGUCUAAUUAACCGUGAAAAAAAUUAUGUGAGACAAUUGAUUGACAGAUAGUGAAUCAAUCAUCAUGAUAUAAACUAUAUAAUCCAUGAGUUUAGUGACGAAAUGGCAUGGAAAACCUCAUAGCUAACCACAUAUAGCAUAAUAUAGAGAUUGUGAAUCUGGCAAUUUGUUAAUGAGCAAUAAGCAGAGUAGACAGAGAUCACUAAAUUUAACUCAUGGAACUCUUUACUUGUUAGACCAUUUUUCUUUUUUUUCUUUUUUUUUUUUGGGGUAAAAAUUAGACCAUUUUUCUUUCGUCACAAUGGCAAUAAGAAAUAAUUGCCUUCAAAUCUUAAGCAACCAUAUUAGGCUUUCUAGAGCAUGCUUUGUAGCACAAAGCGCCACACCAACAAUAUUACUGAUACAACCAUUGCUAAGUAGAAGUUUCAAAGGAUAAACGACCUCUACUUAGUACCUGGAUCAGAAUGCCCCUUGUAAAAAUUAAAGUUGAAAGAGAACUUGGACCUCCAGGUCAGCACAAAUAUUAACGUAUAUAUGGUUUAACUAAAAUUGGUAAAUAAUUAAAAUAAUCAUGGACAAAUUGGUCUUUCUGAUAUUAUAGUGAGGAUAACUUUCAAGGGAAAGAGAGCACGAGGUUACUUGCAAGGGGAUCAUGAGGACAAGCAUGAGAGAUCCAAGCAGCGAAGCAAUGCCCAAUUGCUGGUACAGAAGAACCAUGGCAAUGACAAUACGAAAUGGAGCCGACCAUAAGUUGUGAAGUUGUCGGCAUAUUUGCUGAACAAUAUCAGCUGUCAUGUUAGAUGUAAUUCAUAGAAUUUGCUUUUGCAGAGUCAGAAGAGGAGGGCAUUUGUACUGAGGAAGAUGUCACAAUUGACUUAACUAAAUCAUGUUGCAGCAAUACGAGAACUAUGGUAGCUAUGUCAUAAAACAAGUAGGAGGUCAGAAAUCUCACCUCGAGUGCGUUAGCAUCUGUAGUCAUCAUGUUUGUUAUCUUUCCAGAUUGGAAAUUCUUGCGACCCUCGUGAGUAAGUCUUAACGAUUUGCGGAAAAUGGCCACCACCUACCAAUCGGUUGAACAAGCUAUGUUAAUUUCUCUUCUAUGACAAAUGAUGAAGAACAAUCAAGACUGAGCAUCUGAUACUGAGGAUUUGUACACAUCUGGCAGAGGUUUUACCAAAGUUGACCUCAGCCUAAAUCCCGUCCGAAAUGAAUUUUGAAAGUACUGGGCUUCGCAAAGCACACCGAACGACUGAACAGAUUUCAAUCAGAAGUCAAUAACGUGUCCAAAACAGUAAAUUUCACAUAUCUUAUUAAAGAAAGGACAUAAACAUGGAAUAGGAACUACAAGCCAGAGGCACCGACAAUUAUAAGAAAUGCAGACAAUAAACUUGAUUUACCAUUUACAAAAGUGAUAAUGAUAUUUACUUCACACAUUGCACUAUAAAAAUUUAAUAGUAUGCAAACUUAGAAGGAAAGGACUCUGUCUCCUAACAUAAAUCACAAACUCGACACAAAACAAAGAAAGGAUCAUACCACACUGACAAGAAUCAGAAAGGCACAGAUGUAACCAAUCCAUGCAGGGUCCCCUCUUUGCAUUGACUGCAUGUUACAAAGAAUGAUGCAUUAGAAGGAAAAAAAAAAAUCCGUUCCUGGAAAGCUAACCUGCAUCUAACAUAAUCCACCGUGAUGUUGACUGAAAUACAAAAGUAAAAGUCCAGUCUAUGAGCAGAAUAUUCUUUGCCAUGGAAAGGCAGGGCAAUUGAGACUUCUAGACAAUGUUAGAACAGAACAGAUGAGAUUCUUUUUGAACCAAUCAUAGUUCCUAUAGUCACUAAGCCAUUGCUGUUCAUUUGUUGCCCUGUGUAUAUUGGAGCAGCUUCCCUGUCACAACAAUGCAACAAGCACACUGAAAUAAUUGCUAGAAAAUGACAUUUUACCGUAAGAUAAGCAUGUUAACUCUGUUUCUGCCAGGGUCUGCCCUCCCUGUGAACAACCCUUCAAGUUUUCCAUCCAAAAAUGGUUUAUUGAACAAUAUUCUCAUCAUUUUAAGAGGAAGGUUCCAUGGAAACAAUUUUCCAUAAUGAAGCACAUGUUUCUAGAAAGAAGAUAAAAAUUCACAAUUGCUGGAUUUCAUCAAAAUCUUAAAAGCAGAGUCCAGCAUUGAUUUUAAAAUUUAUGCCUACAAAUUCAUCUAACAGAGAGAGAGAGAGAGAGUUGGAACAACUUACUUGAAGGAGGUAGUUCAGCAAUGUGGGCCCUGCAAACUCAGAAAGAUCGCUCCCUAUCUGUAGUUUUGCAUGUUAGAAAGAAUUACUAAGCUUCCAAUGAGCAUUGCAAAUCAAAGUGAACAGUAUGCUCUUGAAGGAUCAUUAUUAUAGUGAUUGCUCAAGCUUAAUCACAAGACGAAGCCUAAGAGACUAUCCUUUAGAUACCGCUUUUCUUCUUUCAGAUUCAUGAGCUUCUAAGGUUCUGCUCAACCGAAGUUAUUAUGUAACAGGGCAUGCAUGGUAUAUGGACAUCAUUAUUGUACUAGGAAAGGAGUUACGACAUGCGAUUGAGCAUCCAUUCCCCACAGCUGAGGAAUCUGAACAUUUUGGAAUGAGUCUGGUGAUCAAUUAGAUCAUGAAGGGUAAUUAUGAUACCUUAAAGAAGCCUCCCAACCAAAACCUGAAACAAAACAAACAAGUAAAAUGAGAUGGAGAACAUUCAAACAAUGAGGAUGCUUAUGAGUAAUGCUGCAGCUGUCAGUGCACUGUCAAGUCGAAAUUGAAAUGAGCAAUAGGACAUGAGGUGCAGUUCAACUGAUACAUACCUCCCCCCAAGGCUGCCGUUCAAAGCUCUUAAAAGCCAGGGUUUGGGCCUGUGAGACUCUUUGGCCCAGCAUUUCUGGAAUCUGGAAAAUAAGAACAAUUGAAAUGCUUUAUGAAUGUAUCUAAAUACACAAUAAAGUUUGGAGUACUACUUAAGUAAAGUGACUGACGCUAACCUUUUAAUCAGUGUCUCAGUCUGAUCCCAAGUGUCUAACUUCCAAACAUCCUUUUCGGAAAUUGGUCUUUUGUAGCCUUGCUGCAUAACUGGAGUCACCCACCCGAAGUACAUCCCUUUAAGAGAGAGAGAGAGAGAGAGAGAGAGAGAGAGAGAGAGAGAGAGAGAGAGAGAGAGUUAGUAUCAAACAACGCAGCAAUAACCAGCUAACAAUAGAACGCUAAUCAAAUGCCAAUAUUCCAUUUCACUAGACCCUCAAAGACAUGUUCCAUCUCACUUUUAUUUUCAGGCUUGCUUCAGGGAGGAAGAGAUUUGCGCAAACACAGAACCAACAAAUGCCACCAUCAGAAACCAAGUGAAAAAACAAGCAAAUUGGACUCAUUAAGCAGACAGAAUCUAAAAAUGUCAAUUUAUAAGCUUAUUAUUAAUCUUUAUUGGAGAAUGACAAGCAGUUCUUGACAUGUCAAUUCAUAAAGACUAGCUGAACUGGUCUGGUCAGAUGAAAAACAAGCCGAGCUGUCAUAUAAGAAAAAUGAAGUUCAAGUACUACUCACUGGAAAAUAUGUUGACAUGCCUUUCAGGACAAACUUGCUCCUCUCCUGGAAGGGCCUCAUAUUCAACACUAUCAAGAGGCUCGGUGUGGAUUGUAGUAUACCCUGGAUAAGGGUCUAGACUCGGAAAAUAGACAAAAAGAAGAAUCCCAACUAUUACCUACACCAAAAAAAAAAGGCACAAAAGAGAAGAAAAUUUAGUCAGGAUUCUUCAGAUUGGAGUGACCAAUGACAUAAAGAAAUCUCACUAAUUGACGACCAUAACUGAUGAAUCCCAGUAGGAGCUGUUUGUUCAAAAGGCUAGGAAAGCUAUAAACAGCCAGGUCAGGAGUAACGGGUUAUUGAAAGAGACAUAACCUGGCAAAAGACCGUGCUGAUGUACAGAUACAUUGCAGACCUGCAGAUGUAAAAGAACAUGGAUAUUGGGUCCUCCCUGGAACACACUCAAUAUGGAUCUUAAACUCUUCAACAAUGUGAUGCAUUAAAUCAGAAUAACCUGCUUCGAAAAGAUUUUUUUGUCCCCAAGGGAGAUUUAGGCAACUACACCUACAAGUGGCUAUUUAACAUGUCAUAUUGCAAAUAUUUCCUCUCUGAUGAUUUAGCAAUGACAUAAUCUUCAGUAAAGCAGUGUGGCCAUGAAGGAGGAAAAAUGCACACUCUAAAGUAUUUUGACAAUAGAAAAGUUAAUUCUGUCAAUUAUUUUCCAUCAAUCACCAAAAUGAGAGAGAGAGAGAGAGAGAGAGAGAGAGAGAGCAUCUAAUAACAUCACUAUAUUUCUUUGCUUGCAUUCAAGUGUAUGAAAUGGGAGAAUAUGAGAUAUUCUCUACUUGCACUCAAGUGUAUGAAAUAGGAGAAUAUUAGAUGUACAUGUUCUGAAGUAUGAACAGUUAUGUUAAAUGUCUGCUGAACAAUAAAAAACUAACCUAUGAUGCUGAUAAUUGUCUCUCAUUGAGAGGAUGAGCUUGAGCAUCACAACUUGCCCCACCAGAACAUAAAUGAGUCCAAACCGCACGUACCACUUAAAAUCCCGGAUGUAAGCGUGCAUUUCUAGGCCAAUCAUAACUAGCAUGGAGCACCAAGCAAGAGACUCUAUGGUUAACGAAACCAUCUGCCAAACAAAAAAGUGUGGAUUAUUAAAAAGCAAAUUAGACUUCAGUUUGCCAGCCAAUGUAAAAUAGCAUUACAGACUGGUGUUCUGAAGAUUUACAGUAUGACAGAUAAUGAAAACUAUCAUGGCAUCAGUAGAAACAGACUCGUGGAAGUGAAAAGUUAACUAUAAACUGUGGCUGAUUUGGUUACUCAGAGGGCUAAACUUGGAACCCACGGAAGUUGAAAAACUCACAUGUGCAAAGAAGGAUGUUUUCCAUUAGUUUCAUUGCUUUUAUCAAAAGACAAAGUUUAACAUUAGACAGAAUGUCUUUACCAAAAAAACAUUAGACAGAAUGUAGUGGCAAUGAGGAAUACUACACGAGGAUCCACUAGCACCAAGCUUCAUCCAAGAGAAAUCAGUUGAAAAAGAAUAAACAAAACGAGAGUCAAUACCCUAGUGAACAAUUUCAGUCUUAUGCUUUCUCACAUGUUAAGGUUAAGCAACUAGCUACCAAAUGCAAGCUUUUUGGACAACAUAUGGGACUCUGUUGAUGUGCAAAAGAACCAGCUAAUCAAGAUUGUUCAUCAACCAGAGAAAUAUUAGGUGAGCGUCGGAGAGUCGAAUAGGUCCUUGAUACCGUAAAAUUCCUACCUCAUAUGGAGGGAGGAUAGUCUGACCAUCCAGAUUGAAAACCGAGAAGCCCAUCACCAACCUCAGCAGAGGCUCUGCAGCGCAGUAAAAAGAAAGCAAUCCCAACAUGUAAUUGUAGCAUUUUGACCUCAGACGGUAUCUCUGGACUUUCAAAGUCCUCUUGAUCAACCAAAUUCGGUAACAGCAGAGACCCAGAAGAAGCAAAUGGGAUAUGGAAAUGACCAAGGAAUCAACGGCGCAAGGUGUGUAUGCACCAAAAGCGCUGUCCGUGGUCCUUGCCCAAAUCCCACUUGCCACUGGCCUGCAAUACCAAUCCAGCAACUCGAAACCCAUCUUCUAAGCAAGGUAUCCGCUCCUAGUUCAUCAAUGGUCCAUCACAACCUCUUGAAACUUUUUUCACUCAGAAGUCUCAUUAAGCAGAAAUUUCCCCUGAAUCAAUGCACAUGUUCAGAAACAUCCACCAUGAAUACUGCAGGAAAUUUGUCAUUAAAAGAAGUUAAGCAAGAAAACCCACUAUGGUGAAAUCACAAGAGGUCACUCGGUUUAUUUAUAUUUAAAAAAUGGAAUGCAAGCAAAGUCACAGUCCACUGCUCUUUGUUCCAAACUGAAACGCCAGUUAAAUUUCCUCAACUUGACUUCAGCUUUAACCAAGUCCACCAAAACAGUGCUUUGAGCAUGACCCAAGAGAAAUUAGAACUCCCAUUCAUUACACAGUGUCAACCAAUCACCCCCGACAAAAUUAGAAACAAGAAAGAACACAUGACUUCACAAACACACAGGAAGAGAG
RNAcentral lists this long non-coding RNA (88484 nucleotides) under Eucalyptus grandis. Its description in RNAcentral is "long non-coding RNA (EGRA_LNC002140)". The record is from RNAcentral. Lineage: Eukaryota; Viridiplantae; Streptophyta; Magnoliopsida; Myrtales; Myrtaceae.